RNAcentral lists this long non-coding RNA (62903 nucleotides) under Vitis vinifera (wine grape). Its description in RNAcentral is "long non-coding RNA (VVIN_LNC001134)". The record is from RNAcentral. Lineage: Eukaryota; Viridiplantae; Streptophyta; Magnoliopsida; Vitales; Vitaceae.
AUCUUCCCACCCAUCGCCGCACCCUCUCCGAAGAAAACCUAGGGUUUGGGUUCGGGUUCCCCUCUGAUAUCGAUCAGCCACCGACCGCCGACCGCCGACCGCCGACCUCCGAGCAUGACCGGAAAAGCGAAACCAAAGAAGCACACGGCGAAGGAGAUCGCCGCUAAGGUCGACGCCGCCACCACCAACCGUGGCGGAGGCAAGGCCGGCCAAGCAGACCGCUCCGGCCUCGACAAGGGCGGCCACGCUAAGCUCGAGUGCCCUCUCUGCAAAAUCACCGCUCCCGACCUCAAAUCGAUGCAAAUCCACCACGAAGCUCGCCAUCCUAAGGUCCCUUUCGACGAGGCCAAGCUCUCCAAUCUCCAUGCCAGCUCCGUCCCCGAAUCGUCUAAGCCUCGCCCUGGGGUUCGUGGCAGCUUCAAGAAGUAAUUCUUGCUUCUCUGAUUUCGAACUUUUUUUUUCCUGUUCGAUGUUGUGUCCUGUGGCUUAUCGAUAUGGGUGAUGGUGAUUAGGAUCUAUGAGAUGUGAUGAAGCGUUGUUAUGGUGUGUAUAUUAGACGUGGUGAUGAUCCUUUAGGUGGGAAUAGUGUGGUGUUAUGGAUCAUAUGAAUAAUGAUAAUAUGAGUACUUUAGCUCCGCAAAUUUUUAUUUUUUUCUUCUGUUGAUGGUUAAGAAAAGGUUGUGGGAUUGUUCUUGUUGAUGAGCAAAAGAUCUGGUUGAUAGGUUUGUGUUUAGGGCUUGGGAUUCCUUUAGUUUGAUGUUUCGAUUUCUGGAAAUCGUAGAGGAGGACGGGAGGGGAUGUAGGAGGCCCUUCCGCAGUUGAAUGUUCUGGAGUGGUGAAUGCAGAGGACGGGUUUCUGAACUAGAGGCUUUUUCUAAUUCAAGGAAAAUCAGAAUCCAUCUUUGCAGUGUUUCCUGUUAGCUAGAGGGUUGUUUUGAAUAAGAGCCAACUAGGGUAGAAAAGGCACUAGCUAAUCUGACCUUGGUAGGAAAAUCAACCACAACAAAAAGAUGUGUGGAACCUCCAGUUUGAUUUGGCUGAAAAAUGUCUUGGUUAUUUAAAAAGUUGCAACUCUUAACUUCUCUAACCAAGUCUCUUAAACUGUGAAACCAUCUCAUAUGCUCAAUAGUAAAGCAGGUCAAGCAUGCCACUUAGGUACAUCAAGCCCUUUUGAGUUCUUCGAGCUUCACGCUUGAUGUGGGGAGGUAUAACGUAUAUCAGUGUUGUAUUCCUAUGCCCUUGGAAAGGCAGGAGAUGUAUUUAUCUCAGUAAGGAUGGGCUUAGGCCCUUGCCCCUUCCAAGGGGUUGCCCUGUUCAUGAGAGUGGGAAGGAACUGGUAAAGUCAACUAGUAAAUGUUGGGGAGAAACCAACCAUUGCUCAAUUAACAUGUUGAGGUGACUCGUUCAUUUGCAUUUUAAGCAAGGUGAAAUGCUUCCAUCGUGAGAUGUAUGGGAGAAUUUUAUUUGGCGUUCACCAUAGGACAUCCAAACAAUCCCACUAGGUUGUCACAUGUCCUAGUAUGGGAAAGAAACCAAAAGAUCCUGACACAUGAUGCUCCAUCAAUGGCUUUUUAUGAAUUGCAACUACUAAUGAUAUGCAUUUUUGGAGGUGCAUCUAUGUGCCACUUGGCCUUUACAUCAUAAUGGAUACAUGUCAAAAAAUUGUAGGUCUAAGUGUCACUAUGAAAUUGAACGCCGAUAUUUAGCUCCUUUCUUUGUGUGGCUUAUGUUAGCAAGGUGGCAUGAUAUGAUAUAGGUUGGUGCAUAUGCCCCUCUUACUAGCAUAGACUUUACAUGCUUUGUGGGCUACAUGUGUUCUACAGAAUAUAUAUUCAAUAGGAGCAUGUGUUAGCACUUUUUUUUUUAUGCCUAUCAAAAUUUUUUUGUGCUAAUGUGCUCCUAAAAAAUAUAUAUACCGUAGAACACAUGAAUGCGCUUCCAGAGGCCAUGUCAUUAGUAGCCCCACUUCACAUGGGAUUACUAAUGAGCUCCACAUGUCAUUUCAUCUUUAUGUGGCUCUAAUAGCCAUGACCUCUUUCUGUCCUACUAGGACAUGGUGCCAACCUGGAAGUGGAUGCUUAUUUCUUGUGUAAAAGCUUGGACUUCUUGUAUGUCCAUGUCAAGGGAAGUUUUCCUAUCCAUUUCAGGAUGUAGGCAUUCACCUUGCUCAUAGGUACAUUAUGAGUGAGGUGAAUGCUCUAUCAUGUUGUAAAUCCACUUGUCUCGACAUGUGUCCCCCAGACAUUGUUUACCCUCCUCUUCUCUCAAAUCAGUGAAGAUGGUUUUGAAAUGCAUAUGGUAUAUUCCUACUUUUUGUGAGCCUCUUGUAAAGCCAAAGGCUCCAUGUCAAUCCCAAGGUUUUGGAAGUUGAAAGGUUAGUCCCCUCAUAGAAAGUCCAUGCAGUAUAGGACCUUUUGAACCUUGCCUUCAACUAGCUCAAUAAUAUUAAUGGUAGGGUGCUGUCUAGAAAGCAUGUUCAAUGAUGAUUCAUGGAGAUAGAGCUGCUUUCGGAGUUUUGGAGAUUGAUCGUUGAGAAAUAAGCUACCUUUCACUGACUCCAUUAGAGGGCAUAACUGAGAUAGAGGGGCAUCCUUUUCAUAUUGGAGAAGUGGAGUUAUGAUUCCUUGUGCAUUCAGAAGCUCAGGUGACAUAAAUGAGAGAAAUCCAUGAAGAUAUUAGGGGGGCCAUAAAUUGUACUUCUAACUUGUUAGUAAUGAAUUUUUGUUUUGCAUGUGUAUAUAUGUAUAUAGGGUCAACUACUAGUAGACCUGGAUCAUGGAGCUUUAUGAAUUGUGCUGCUUGAUGAAUUGACCAUGUUUCGAAUGAGUUAAAGUGUCAUGCUAAUUACAUGUGUGGUGAUCAUAUAUUAGUUCAUGUGGUGUGCCAAAACAAUAUACCUACAAAGUCCAAUGUCAUUUUGUCCUUCCACUUUCUUUUCUUUUUCCCCUCCAAAUAAAAAGUUGGGAACAAAUGGGAAUUGGAGAGAGAGAGUGAUUUUGUAUGGCAACAUGUUAAAUUGUUGAAUGUACAUGUGGAGUAUUGAAGCUCAAGUGAUAUGAAGUGAAAUAGGUUUUAUUUGAAUGAUAAUGAACUUGAAAAUUUAGAACUUCAAAUGAAGCCAUACUCGCAUGACCACCAGAAGAUAAUACAGAUAUUCUUACUUGGGCAGAACUUGAACUUGAACUUGGAACUUAAGAUUAUAGUUAUAGUUUAGUUCAUUUUGUGGGUUUUAUAAUGAGUACGUCAUUUGAAUAUUAUGUUUUAUUAAUUUAAUUUCAUCAAAACUCUAGUCUCAACAUUUACCUGUUUAGUGGAUUUUAUGAGCACAGAUACACUGCUGGGAGCCAGCCUAUAUAGCCUUUGACGGUAUCUUGAAGACUCUAAUCAGGGAAUCGUUGAUGGGUUGUCUGGUUGACAUGUGACUGUGAUCACCCCACAAGGAAUUCUCAUGUAGUUGAAGUUGAUUCUGGUGAUGUGGUGUGUUUGAGAAAUGGAAAUAAUGACCCGAAGGUUUAUCAGUAUGUUGUUGGCCUAUCAGGGAAAAACAAAAUAUCAGAAUGUAGUUGAUGAAAUCAUGGAUUUGGCAAUGCUAGUUAAUAUAUUGUUUUUGUUGUGCAUAAUACAGUAAGGAUAAUUGUGUCAGCAGCUAGUUUUAUUAAUGGGGGCCAAUUUCCCUUGACUGAACCUGGAUACGGGGAAGUUAUUAGUGGGAUGCAGGGAACAUAGGAGAAAUACAGAUUGUGAUAACUAGGAAGUUGUUUGGUCCUUUGGGGUGUGGUUGUGGCUAAGCUAUCCCGCAUUUUUCCGGAAGGCAGGCUUCAAAUUUUGUAGGUCUUCGGUGAGGUACUUUGCAUUAAGACUCGUGAACUUUGUUGGGUUGGCAGUCCUGGUCGUAGGUCACACAGGGCGAUGUUCUGGGGAGAGACUUAUGCCAUGUUUGGUUCUUGGAGAAUUUGAGGGGAAAAAAAAAAAAAGAAGGAAAAUAAAAAAAAGAUUUAGAAUUAAUAAAUUAUUUUUAUUUAUCAUUUUAAGCUUAUUUUAAUUGUUUUAAUUCAUUGAUAUAAAGAUAAAACAAUUUAAAAUUUUAUAAGUUUUUAACUGGUUUUAAUUAUAUUUGAUGUGUUUUGAAAUUUUUUAUAAAAUAACCAAAUAUGAGAAAAUUAUUUUUCUUUAACAUUUAUUUUCUUUCUUUAUCAUUUUUUGAGAACCAAACAUACAGCUCACAUGGUCGGUGGAAUGUUUUAUAGGGGUUGCAAUUCAUUAAAUUUUGGUGUAGCUUUGUGUUUAGCUACUGAUAUCAUUGCAGCUGUUAAAAUAUAUAUAUAUAUAUAUUUAUUUAUAAUUAUUUUUUAAAAUAACUGUUAAAAUAUAAGUAAAAACAACUAAAACAUGUUUUCUGUGAACACUUGAUGUGUGUUUUUCUGCUUCACACCGGAUAUGUGUUUUUGUGCUUUAGAUGUUAAGGAUGAUGAAUAUUGUUAGAUGGGUUAAAGGUUGUUGUUUAUUUGUUUGUUUAGAUGGAAAACAUGAAAGAAAGAUUUAAGUAAACUAAUUUUAGAAAUCGUUUUAAAGAAUUAUUUUUGAAAACUUUCCCAAAUAGGUGCUUAGGAUGUGGGCUGUUUUUAUGGGUGGAGAUGCUUUUAAGAGAUUUGGUGCAUUUAGAGAUCAAUUUUUUUUCCUAAUCAAAUUAGAAAAAACAUCACAAGUUUUGAAGUCUUGAACAGCAUUUCUGUUUUAAUAAUUUAUACUAUAUUGGUAUAUUUUAGUGUUCAUCUUAAUAAAUCUUUUGAAUGGGCCCACAGGGAUCAAGCUUUAUUGUCUUCCAAUGCUUACUUUUGAAAUCUUGUUUUUUAAAAAAUAUAAUUUUUAUUUUAGAAAAAAUUAUCCAAAAGGGACAGAUGCAGAUCAUAAGGAUCCUAAAGGGUUACAUCGAUUGAAAUUCUUUUUGAAGGAUGAAAUAAAAUAAUAUAAAGUCCCCAAAAGGUCAUUCGCAUAAUUGAUGGCUUAUAAUUAAAAUGAGAAUAGAGCAAAAACUUUUUCUAAGGCCAUCCUUCUUGAUUGUUGAAUGCCAAAUUGCCAAUUACAUACCAAUUCUUGCCCUAAAUCCAAUGGUUGGAAACUUUGGGAGGGUAGAUGAAUUCUACAGAGUUUCUAUCUUGUAAAACUUUGGAAUCUUUAGAGGUAAAUGAUAAAUUAAGGUUAUGUUUGGUUCUAUGUGAAUGAUUUUAACUUUACAUUAAAAUAAAAUAUAAUUAAAAUUAGUUAAAAUUUUAUAUAUUUUUAAAUGAUACAUGUUUACAUAAAAUAAAAUAAAACAAAAUAAAUUUGAAAUAUCAUAUAAAGAUAAUUUAUUUACUUUAAAUCCAUUUAUUAUUUUCCUUUACCUUUUAUUUUCCUAUAAUUUUUAUUUUUAUUUUUUGGAACCAAAUAUAACCUAAAAAAAAUGUCAAAAAGAAAAAUGAGAAACAAAUUUCAAGAGGCAUGGGAUAAAAAUUUAUUAUAUUUAACCCUAAUUUUCAUUUGUCUUCCUUUUAUUAUAUUUAAACCUAUUUUUCAUUGUCUCUUUUCAUUCUUUUCCUUCUACUUUCUUCCAAAAAUUUCAAAUUGGACGCCUAAGACAACUUGUAAUUUCAAUACUUUCCUUCCAUGUUUUUUUUUUUUAAAUCUUUAUCCUUUUGAUUUUUCAUUUUAAAAUAUAACUUUCCCAUCCUAAUGCAAUAAGAUCAACCAAGUUAACCUUGAUCCAAAGAGAUUAAAAGUAAAGUAAUAGGGAAUGAGCCCAUAAGAAGAGAAAAUUAUUAAAAAAGAAAAAAUAAAAAAGCCUUAAUAAUAUGUUCAAUUUUUGUUUAUCUCGGUAUGUUUGAAACUUCAGAAUAAGAAAUACGAACGAAAAAUUAAUUUCAUUUUCCAUAAGCUAUAACAUUUAGAUUAUUUAUUAGAAAUAAGAACAAGAAUAAAAACUUUAUUUUUAUAGAAAUAAAAUCAAAACCCCGCUCUUGUUAGAAAUUUGAUUUAUCUUUUUUAUAUAAUCAUGUGUUUAAUUAACUUGGUUCCUCUAUUUUAUAUAUUAAUGUUUAGGAAUGAGCAUUUUCAAAAUUAUUCUUCAAUAAUAAAAUUAUCAAAGCAUGUGGAACAAUAUUGAGGAUGCAUAUGUUUCAUCUAAGCAUAAAAUAAUAAUAAUUAAUAUGUGAAGAAAAAAAUAAUUAUUGGAAAAUAUGAUUAAGAGAGAAUUAAGACCUAUUUGAGAAUUGUUUUUUAGAAUAAUUUUUUGUUCUCCAAAACAAAAAAUAAAGAAGACACGCUUGAUAACAAAAAAAUAUUUUCUAUUUUCUAUUAUUAAAAAAAAAAUUGUUUUCAGAUAACAUCUUUUAAUUAUUUUAUGUUGUUUUCACUUGUUUUUUGAGAAUUAUUUUAAGAAAUAAUUAUACAAAUAUAGAAUAAUUAAAAAUAAAACACUAGAUAUAAAAAUUAUUUUUAAAACAUAUUUAAAAUAUUAAAAACAAGUUAAAAAUAUUUUAGGUUUUCAAAUAAACUUUUAUUUUACAAAAAUCAGAGAACAUUUUUCAAAAACUGUUCUUAAAAAUUAUUUUUUAGAAUUAUUUUCAAAAACAGUUACCUAAGAGGCCCUUAAUGUAAAAUGAAGGUAGCCUAAGUUGUAUAUGAAAUUUUAUUAGAUAUUGCAAAUUUAAUAUGCAAACAUUUGAUAUAAGUUCAUACACACAUAAGCAAGCAAAUAUAUCCAAAAUUCUAAUCUAAAAAAAUAAAUAAAUAAAAAGGAAAAACAAAAAUCUGAAGCAUUCAACAAAAAAUAAUAUAAUAAUAUAAAAUAUUUUUAUGAAGUUAUAAAGUUUAAGAAUAAAGUUGUAGAAAAUGAAAACAUCUAUGUCUAAGUAUAUAUAAUUUGUGCCAAGUAAAGAAGAAAUUUGAACUUUUAUAAGACUAAAGUUGUGUUCAUUGUUUCUUAUUGCACAAAGCAAUAAGAAUAUCUCAAGUUUUGAUAAAAAAUCUAAGAAACAAACAUUAUGUUUCCUUAAUUUAAGAUGCAUUUACUUAAUCUAAUUCACAUGAUGGUAAGCUUGGUUUAUAAUCUAAUCUUAAUUAAUCAACCACGAUGGAUGAAUGGCCCUUAUUGGAGUUGAUGAGAACAAUUAUGGCCUUUUCUUUAAAGUAUUUAAUCAAAGAGAUCAUCUUAUGUAUACCAAAAUCGCGUAAUAUGCAACCAACAAGGGAAGACAAAUUAUAAUUCCAAGGAUCACCCUGCAAAACAAAAAGAAAUUAAUUAAUUAUAAGAUUUUUAAUAUUUUUGCAUUAAUAUUAUGUUUUGUUGGUUAAUAAAAAUAAUUAACUUACGCAGUGCUAAUCACUUCUGUAUGCAAGCCAUAUUCCUUGACGAAGACGAAUGAAGCAAGUGAUUGUGGCAAUGCAGCCUAAAAACCAAAAGGGGAUAGAAGAGCAAAAACAUCUCAAUAUCAAUAACAAAUUUAUAUUAUUUCUUGAAAUGUAUAUAUAUAUAUAUAUAUAGAGAGAGAGAGAAUAAAAAGGGUGAAUUAUGGAAUCACCUUUGUGCUUUUACCCUUCCAAUUUAGUCUUUUAAAGCUUUUUUUUUUUUUUUUAUAAAUAAUUUCAACCCUAAACUAUAUCCAAAUAUCAAUUAAUUUCAUAUAUUAUUUGUACAGGAAAUAGAUGAAAAAACCCAUGAUUUAUGUACAUGAACAUUACAAUAUUAAACAAAACUUAUUUAUAUAAUGUUUGUGUUUGUUAUGAGUUUUAUUUCUUUCAUCAUUUUAGUUAUUUAUCAUUUAGCCAUAAGACACUAACAAUUAAGAAAAAAAAAAGGGGAAAAGGUUUAAAGGUUAAAUUAAAACAUAAGUUAAAUACAUAGAUAAUUUUUAUAAUUUAAUUUAAUGAAAAUAAACAAGUGUUUGUUUGGACACACUUUUUUCUUUGCUAUUUUUAAAAAUAGAAAAAUAGUAAAAAAAUUAUGUUUGAAUUAUAUAAAAUUUUUUAGAGGUUUACAUUAAAAAUAAAUGAUUUUUAAAAAUUGAUAUAUUAAAAUUUUGAAAUUUUCUAAAAGUUAAGGCAAGUGAAUACCUUUUGUAUCCGACAUUUUAUAUAGAAUUCUUUAUUUUAAAAAUAAAAAAUUUGGAAGGUUAUUAAAAUGAAGCCAAAAUAAAAACUUGCGUGAUUUAUUUUUACCUUUACAAGGUAAGAGAAAGGUCAAAAUUUCUUUGACUACAAUUGUUUGUUUCUCUAGAAUCUAUGCAUAAAAGAUUUUAAAAAUAAGGUAUUUGUAAAGGUUAUACGAAAAUAAAUUUCCAAGAAUAAGAUUCUAAUAUCACAUGAAAUUAUAGAUAAAUUCAAAAGCUUUAACUUAUUAGUUGAUAGUAAAAGACAUACACGUACUCUCUAAAAUUUAGACAAAUAGAUAACAGGUAUAUAUAUAAUAUUAUCUCUCAAAUAAUCAAGGCUUACCUAAAGAUUAUAACAUUAUAAAUUCCUAAGAAAUAAGAUUCGAAUAUAAUAUGAAAUUAUAGAUUAAUUCAAAAACUUUAAUUUGUUAGUUGUUAGUGAAGUACAAACACGUCAUCUCUAAAAUUAAGACAAGUCGAUAUCAAGUUUACCUACUAAUUAGGGACUCAAAUAAUCAUAACCAAUACCACAUUAACCUUCUAUUUGACUUAAAAGCUUAAACUAUUAGAUAAUAACCUUCUAUUUGACUUAAAAGCUUAAACAAUUAGAUAAUGAGCCCAUAACACAUGUCAAAUCGACUUAAGCUAAAACACUAACAACAUUAGUAGAAUUUCUUUUCAUCAUUCUACAAAAUGCCAAGGCACUAAGCACUCCAAAAAUGAAAAAGGAAACCUACUUUCAAUAAUGCACCGAUAGACAUGGUGUUUAUGAAAGAAAAACAUAUGCAUUAAGCUUUGAUCAAUGCUUUAAAUACCUGGAUUAUGGCGAUGCGCAAAACAUUGCCACGCAAGCCAAUUGCCAAGGCGACCACCCCCAUGGUCACCGGUGUAGCAAUGAACCUUAUAAUCAUCCCAAACGCAGUCAGAGUCGCUCCACAUGCCAUCACCUUUCCUUGCAUUGCCAUGAAGAACCCUGCAUAUAUUUCAAAACCCUAAUCAAACUAAGCCUAAGAAAGAAGAUUAAAGAUGCUUCCAUUCAUUACCAUCAUGUCUACAUGGAAUUUUAGAUCAUCUUCUUUGUUAGACGUAUAAAUAUGAAUUAGUAAGUGGCUUUUUAAGAUAAUUCAUAAUACAAAUUAUGUUAAUAGAAAGAGAACAAAGAAGAUCAAGUCAGAGCCCUAGGCUUUAAUAAAUUGAAAACUUGUUUGAAAGACAUACGAGAGUUAGAAGCACUUUUAAAUGCUUAAAAGGGUUUUUUAUUUCUCUAAAAAAAUAAAAUAUUAGAUAAAAUUUUAGGAUAUGUUUGAUAACUACUUUUGAAAAUAGUUUUAAAAAAUAAUUUUUGAAAAUAGUUUAAAAAACUAAUUUUUAAGAAUAGUUUUAAAAAAUUGUUUUUGGAUGUUUUAUAAUAAAAAAUAACUAAAAGAUAUCAUCCAAAAACACUACAUUUUUUGUUUUUAAGAACAAAAAAUAGGUUGCUAAACAUGUUUUCCUGGUCUUCUGUUACGACAAAUAGAAAACCGUUUUAGUCAAACAGACCCUUAAAAACCAUUUUUGAAAGAAUACCACUUAAAAUGAUAAUUGGAUUAAUACUUCAGCAAAGAGCUAUUUACAAAGACAUUAAACAUUGAAAAACGGCUGUAUAAUAAUUAUUCCCAAACAUUUGAUACUUCAAAUAAGAAUUUAAUCUUGUUCUAGAGUGGAUGAAUAUAUUAAGAAUAAGAAGUGGAAAUUAAGGAACAUUAAUAUUGAUCUCACCAAGACUAAACAUGGCAGUGGAUGUCCCAGCUCUUGACAUGAUUUGUACGGAUCCCUCCACAAUUUUUGGCAUUCCAAUAUGCCACCUACAAACAUUCACAACCAAAAACCCUAAUCUCAUUCACCAUGGAUGCAUCCUUCAACAUAAAUUGAAAAUGAGUCGAUAUCGAGAAUGAUUUUGAGGUAAUUCUAAAAAAACCCCUGCAAAAUUUGUAGAGAUGAACAUGUAGUGGUAUUACCGCUUUGAUAGAAAAGCCCAAAUGAGGCCAAGAACACAGGCAUAAAUGUUUGGGUUCUUCACGAGUUUCAGCAACGCGUUCCUCAUCAGUGGCCAGAAAGACGACGGCCCCGAGCUUUCCGACACCUCCGUCGUCCUAUGCCCUUCCAAAUCUUCCUCUGCAGCCCCCACCGGUGCAAUAUUAGAGUCCUCAGGAAUUGUUUUGUUUAAAGAAACGAAAGAUUUCCAGAACUCCAAGAGAAUCAAGAAGACGGUGCUAUAGAUAAUGACUUGGACGACGGAAGCCUGGAGGACGAGAUUGACCCCCGUCCGGCCAUACAUGGCCUCUAAAAUGGGCACCCCGAUAAAGAGAGAAUUAGUCAUUGUGCAGAGACUGAAGCAGGUGACGAACCAGCCAUAGCUGCCGGUUCUGCUACUGCACUUGCACCAGAGGCCAAGCGCAGCAACACAGAUGAACUUGCUCAUGAUAUCGGCCCCCAUGUACUUGUAAUUCAUGGAGAAAGGGUCGAUAUGGGAGGUGAAAUCAAAGCUGUAGAAUGGGAAAAUGAAGUAGCAGAUGAAGCGGUUGAUGGCGGCGCAUUGAUCGGAGCUGAACAUGUGCCACCACCUCACGGAGGCGUAGCCCAGCAGCAGUGCAACGUAGAGUGGUGCCAUGGCUUCCACCACCUUGUAAACAUCUCCCCAUUCAAUCAUCUUUCUUUCUAGUCCAUGUAAUGUCAACAACAACCCUUGCAAAGAUCUUGAUCUUCUAGCCUCUUCUAAUGUCUAGGGUUUCAAUCUGCAGUCUAAAAAAUUGGAAAACUUGUAGCUAAUCAACUCAUGAACAAGGGUUAGGGUUAGGGUCAGGGGAUUGAUGCAUGGGCAUGCAGGGAUAAAAGCGUAGUUCUUGAGGUUUUUCUCAUAAAGAACAGAGGGAAAUUGGUAAGGAUUUGCUACUGUAGAGAGAGGGUGUAUCUGUCAUAAGAAGCAAACCUAAGAAUUUGCCCUACUGCAUCGCUUUAAAUAGCAUAAACUACACUGAUAAAAUAUUAUUUUAUUUUUAUUUUUUUUAAAACAACUAUUACUUGACAAGUGGAAAAUUUGUAAAAUUCAUAUUUUUUUUUUUAAAAAAGAAUCAUAUUUGACCUCUUCAUAUAUAUUUUCAAAUUUUGAAAUUGAGCCACAAGUAUUUUGAAUUGGACCUAUUCUAUUGCCUUUGCGUUAGGACAACAAAGAUUCUUACCCAUUAACUACACAGUAUUUUUUUUAAGGAAAAAAAAAAAAAGUAGAUUUUUUUUUUCCUAUAAGUUUUGAAGGAAUUUUGGCCCAUUUUGCCCAAAAAAUAAAUAAGAAAAAGGUGGAUUCAGUUCUUGAAGAACCGGCCGGUUCACCAAUUGAACCGCCUAGGCUAGAUAGGAGGGUCAAAUGGGUGAAUCGAAUCAAAAAGGCCGUCGAUCAACGGUCCGAUUGGCCGGUUCGGUUUUUAAAACAUAGGUAUGUAAAAGGCCCAAGAUUUUUCACAUGUUAAAUUGCUUGCAUGGGCAUUUAGGUAAGAGUGGACACGUGGCAAUUCUUCAUCUCCGCCAAAAGCAGCUUGAAAAAACACAAAAAUUAAAGAGUAUAAAUUGAAGUUAAUUACACAUGGUAUUUUUUAAGAACUCUUGCGACCGCCCAAAUUAAAGUAUAGGGGUAAAAUCAUAAUUUUAAAAAUAAAUUAAUUAAUUAAAAGAUGGUGGAAACGUUCAACAUUAAAAUAUUAGAUUAAUGAAUUCAUUAUAUAGAAAUCUUUUUAGAUAAAGAUCAAAUAAAUUAGAGAACGUAGGGUUGAAGUUUUGGGAGCUUAGGGUUUGGAAUCAGUUUUGUUAAAUAAAAUAUUAACUUUAAAUUAGUAUUUUAGUUUGUUAAAGAGUUUUUAAUAAUUUAAAUAUUCUGUUGGAAAAAUCUAAAUAUAAAUUAGGGUUUGAUUUAUUUGUUUUUAUAUAAAAAAAAAUAGAAAUAUGUGAAUAUAGAUUGAUUAUUGAUGAAGAUAGGAAAAUUCUAAAUAUUCAAAUAAAUAGAUGUAAACAAUAUAAAUAAAUAAAUAUGAGAAAAGAAAUUAUGAAUCUUAGAUUUGGAUUGCUACAAUGCCUAGUGUUUGAAUGGGAUUCCCACUUGCAUAGGAUGGUUGUUGGUUUUAUGGAUGAAAAAAUUUUGGCCUUUGAUUUUUCGGUCCAGUCAACGCAAUUAGCGGGUGCUGGGUAGAGAUGGCAACAAGGCGGGUUCGACGGGUCGUCACUAUUCUAACCCUACUCCAUUUAUUCAAAAUAAUUAUCAUCCCCGUCCCAUUUAAAAAAUUAAAUGGAAUGGAGCGGGUAUGAUAAAUUCUCAUGCCCGUCCCGUCCCGUCCUGUUUAACUUUUUUUUUUUUAAUUUUAUUUAUUUAUUUUAAAAAAAUUACUUUAAAACUUUUUAAUUACAUUAAAAUAAAUAUAUUUUAUAAGUAAUUAAAUUAUUAUAUUUUUAUAACUUAUUUUAUUAAAAAUAUUUUAUUAUUAUCUAUAAAUUAAAAAUAGUAAAAUAAAAAUUAAAUUAAAUUAUUUUUAAAAUUUAAAUUAAAUUAAUUUUAUAUAUAAUCGGGGUGGGUUUAGGGUAACCCGCCCCGAACCCCUGGGUUUUAAAAAAAAUUCUCAAACCCAUUUAUUAAAAUUGAAUCCCGUCCCAUUGUCAUCCCUAGUGUUGAGGCUCAAAUCCGCCCAAACCCAAAAACAAGUAUAGAGUUUACCUUGGGUGAACGUUAAACUAACGACUUAUUUGAUAAAUAAUAUGCACUAGACAAACACAUGGUAAAACUAUAAAAAAUAUUUUCAUAAAUAAAUUAAUUUUAAUUAUUUUAUUUUAAAAUUUCAUUUAAUUAGUUACUAAAAAUAUAAAAUCUAUCAUUAUAAUUUUCUUCACAGUUUUUUAUAUCAUUUAUAUAUUAAUUAAAUAUAAAAAUAUAAAUAUUAAAAAAAUUAUACAUAUAUCAUAAUUUAUUUUAUAUCAUUUAAUACUAUUGAAAUUAAAUGAAUUAUAAUUUUAAAGUGAGAUAUAUUAUAAUCAAAUAUCAUAAUAUUAUUGUCAAAUAAUAUUUGAUGUAAUUUAAUAAAUUUAUAAAAUUCAUUUUUUUUAUGGACGUAUACAAUAUUAUUAUCAAAUAUGAUUAAUUAUAUCAUAUACAUAUAUUAUCUUUUUUUAUACAAUAAUUUUAAAAUGUCAAAUAUUGUUUAUUAUAUCAUUUUUAGAGUUUUUCUCAAUACCCAAAUUUUUUUUUCCAAAAUAUCUGUCGAUAUUUUCAUCAAUGGUUGGUUUAAGUUUAAAUGAGGAGAAAAAUGAAAUUUUAAUAAUAAAAAAAUAGUUUAGUUCAAAUAUUAAGAGGAUUUUAGAAAGUUUUAGUUUAAGGAAAAACAAAAAAUGACAGAUUGUUGGAAUUGGAUUAAAAGCAAGAGUUUUAAAUUAAUGUUGGUAAUUAAGAAUAUUAAUGUUAAUAUAAAAUAUUAUUUAAGAUUAUCAAUUAAUAAUUUUAGAUAAAUAGUUACUAAUAAUAGUUAUUGUUUUUUUAUGUUAUGUUAUGUUAAGUGAGAAUUAGAUUCUUUAAGUUUAAAUUCAUUAUGAUUCUGAGCGUUUUUUUUUUGAGAAAAUAAUAUAAAUUUUAUAAAAGAAAGUAUUUCCUUUUUAUACGUUAUUUUCAAUUAUGUAAAAUAUUGUCAUUGUUUCUCUUUAUGCUUCUGACAAUUUUAUUUUAUUUUAUUUUAUGAAAAAUAGUUAAAACAUUUUUUUAGUUAUAACAAAAAAUAGGGAAAUAUUAUGUUUUGGUAAGCUUCAACAAAUGAAAUAAAGUGUUUGACUUGAUUUGUUUCACUUUAGUUAAGGAGAUACAAUUAUCGACCUUUUUUUCUUAGUUAAUGAGUUAUAAUUGUUGACUUUUUUAACCAUAUUCAACAAGUUAUAAUUGUUGAUAUUUUUUGUAAUAGUCAUCGGGUUAAAAUUGUUGACUUUUUUUACUAAAAUUAAUGGGUUAUAAUUAUUAACUUUUUAAUCUUAGUUAAUGUGAUAUAAUUGUUGAACCUUUACAUAUCUUGAUAGGAAAUUUAAUUACUUUGAACCUCAAUAUUUAAUGGUUUUGUUAUAGGUUACUAGUACUAAUAGUAUUUGAUCUUAUCUACUUUAAAAUGAAUAAAUUUGAAAUUAGUCACCCAUAUGUAAAAUUCCACCUAAUUGAAUAUUAUUUGUUAUUUGAUAAUCAGACUAAAAAAAAAAAAAAGUUUUGAAUGCAUUUAAAUUGGAUUUGAUAUAAAAUUAUUAUUGACAUAAAUAUGAAAAUGUUUGUUUAAAAGUUUUGAAUAAUUUAAGAUGUUUGAACUUAAAGUUUGUAUGAAAAAAAAUUGUACAUGGUCUAUCUUAUAAUUGAAAAUAUAUGAUCCAUUAAAUUGUAUUAAUAUUUUUUAUUGGGUUUUGAUCUCAUUUCCUUUUAUGGUCAAGUUUUUAGAUACUCUCAAUUGAGGCGAUGAGUGAUGAUUAUUAUAAAAAUUUGUCCUUGGAAUUUUUGAGUUUAUACUUUAAACUUGUGACAUUAGUUAAAUGUUAGAAUUUAAUUACCAUUUAAAUUAUUUAAAUUUGAAUUGUUUGGAUAUUAUCAUAGUGGUUGAUGUGUUAGCUUCUUUUUGAAGUUAAAUUUUGAGGAAUUUAGUGUAUUUUACCAAUCUUCACAAGAAUUUGAUAAUUGACAACCUUCUAAUUAUAAGAUGAAUCUUCAAAGUUAAGGUGUAAAAUGACCAUCACACCCUUAAAAUGGGUCUUAGAAAAAAAAAAAAAAGAACAUGUUUGAUAAUAUUUUAGAAUAAAAAGUAAAUAUUUCCUGAAAUGAAAUAAAUAAAUAAUAAAUAAUAAAUUAUUUUUAUACAUUACUUCAAACUUAUUUUAUUUAUUUUAACUUUCAUAUAUAAAAAUUAUAUAAUUUAAAAAUAUAUAAAUUUUAACUAGUUUUAAUUACAUUUAUUUAUUUAUAAAUUUUAUAUAAUAAGAUCAUACAAGAAAAAAAAAAAAUCAUUUUCUUCAAUGUUUUCGAAAAAAAAAAUUAUUUAUGAUCUAUGUAAGUUUGAAAUGAUGAUAAUAAUCUCAAAAUGGUAACACCUGAGUAAGUAAAUUGUUCUCCCAAAUUUUGUGUUAAUUUAAUAUAAACCAUAUCAACAUUCGUGAUACCCAUGUCUCAAAAGAAAUCCAAUUAUGAAAAUGAGUAAGAAUUCAUUUAAUAAUGAUUUUAGAAAACGCUUUUAAUAUUUUUAAUACUUAAAAUUUUUUAUCAUUUAAAUAUUAGAAAUGUUAAAAGUGUUUUUUAAAAUUAAUACUAAAAGAAUUCUUAAAAGUCCGUUUGACAAUAAUUUUAGGAAACGUUUUUUUAAUAUUUUUAAUACUUAAAAAAUUUUAUCAUUCAAAUAUUAAAAAGAUUGAAAAUAUUUUCUAGAAUUAUUGUAAAACGCACUCUGAUAUAUAUUUUAUUAUCCUUUUUCUUAAUAGGACACGAACCCGACACAAAUCGACCCAAAUUUAGCACCUCAUUUCUUUUACUGACUUGAAUGUAUAAGAAAGAAGAAUAUAAAUAUAAUUUAUGAUACCAAGAGUAGUGAAUAUGAGUUCAAAAUCUCCAACAUGAAUGCAGCUAAAAAAAACUCAAUAGAACUGAAAAUGCACUCCUCCAUUCUUAAGCUGGUUCUCAUUCUGGAUACUGCUUGCACCUCGUUGAAAUCUCGAGUAGGCUGGCUUAGAGGGGUCUUAAGCACCGCAUAUCACAGAAAUUUUUGCAACUUGUUGAACUCUCGAGUAGACUGACUUAGAGGGUCCUAAGCACCGUACAUCACAAAAAAAUAAUGAUAAAAUUUGUGGGAGUGACAAAAACCAACUUCCUCAAUACCUCCAAGAUUCGGGUCGAGAUAUGAAAAGAAGAAGAAUUGGCUGAAUAAUUAUUAUUGAUGUUGAAGUGUGUAUUUAUACAAGGAGAUUUGAGAUCUUUUUCUACAAGUCAGGAAUCAGCUUACCAUAUUCUAGACUAUCCAUCUAUAAGUCAGGAAUUACAAUAGGAAAACUAACAUAUACAAAUCAUCUAUUCUUAAUAUGGAAGAUUUAGAAAGAUUGACUUUCCAACACUCCCCCUCAAGUUGGAGAGUGGAUAUCCUGCACUCCCAACUUGCGAAUCAUAGGAGCAAAAAACUCAUUUCCUAAUGGUUUAGUCAAAAUGUCUGCAAGUUGGUGCGCUGAGCUCACAUGUCUUGUAAUAAUGGAACCAUCUUGGAUCUUGUCCCUAAUAUAGUGACAAUCCAUCUCAAUGUGUCUAGUACGCUCAUGGAAAACAGGGUUGGCUGCAAUGUGCAACGUUGCCUUGUUGUCACAAUACAGCAAGGCAGGUUCCUUAUGUAAAACACCCAAAUCUUUCAAAAGGUACCAAAGCCAUGUCAACUCACAACAAGCUCCUGUCAUUGCACGAUACUCUGCUUCGGCUGAAGAGAGUGACACUGUUUUCUGUCGCUUUGAUCUCCAAGAAAUCAGUGAAGGUCCAAGGAAUACACAGUAGCCUGUAGUGGACCUUCUAGUAAGUGGACAACCUGCCCAAUCAGAAUCACAAUAGGCUCUCAAUCUGAAAUCAUUAUUCGAAGAGAAGAACAGACCCUGACCAGGUGCAUUCUUGAGAUAACGUACAACUCUGAACGCUGCUUCCAUAUGAGCCUUUCUCGGUUGAUGCAUAAACCGGCUUAACACAUGAACUGCAUAAGUGAUAUCUGGCCUCGACACAGUUAGAUAUAUUAACCUUCCAACCAAUCUCCUAUAACGACCUUGAUCCUUGAGCAAAUCGCUCUUAUCAGACAAUUUCAAUCCUCGUUCCAUAGGUGUAUCAAUAGGGGCAGCGCCCAACAAUCCUGCAUCCUCAAUAAUCUCUAAUGCAUACUUACGUUGGGAAAUAAAAAUCCCAUUUUUAGAAGCAGAAACCUCAAUGCCAAGAAAGUAUUUUAAAUCACCCAGAUCUUUGAGAUGAAAAUGACUAUGCAGAAAAUUUUUUGUUGUAGCAAUGCUCACAGGAUCAUUUCCAGUAAUCAGAAUAUCAUCAACAUAUAUCAAGAGGGCAGUAAAGGACUUGCCUUGUUUUCUGGUGAACAAAGAAUAAUCGGCUCGAGAUUGUGCAUAACCAGCGGAUUGAAUAGCUUCUGAGAACUUGGCGAACCACUGGCGAGAAGCUUGUUUCAGACCGUAGAGUGAUUUAUGAAGGCGACAUACCAAGUUUUCCUCCCCCUGUCGCCGAAGCCCUAGCGGCGGAGACAUAUAUAUUUCCUCAUGUAAGUCGCCAUGAAGAAAAGCGUUGUUAACAUCCAUUUGAUGAAUAGACCAGCCACGGGCUGCGGCCAAUGCAAGCAAGCAGCGGACAGAUAUGAUCUUGGCGGUGGGGGAAAAGGUAUCCUGAUAAUCAACACCUUCUAAUUGAGUAAAGCCUUUCGCUACCAAUCGUGCUUUGUAACGCUCAAUAGACCCAUCUGAACGGUGUUUAAUUUUAUACACCCAUCGACAACCAAUCGGUGUCUUGCCGGCCGGUAGUGGAGUGAGAGACCAAGUGCCAUUAGCUUGGAGAGCUUGCAACUCAGAACACAUUGCCUUCUGCCACUCAGGAUGAGCGGCUGCUUCUGAAUAAGACCUGGGUUCUGUGACAGCACUAUGUUGAGCAACAAAAGAUCUAUAUGCAGGCUUAUAUCUGUGAUAAGAAACAUAAUUGGCCAGUGGAUAUCGUGUACCUUUAGUUGGACCUGGAAUCAAGGAAGACGAUUGAUUGGAGGAAACGUGGGAGCAAACAUAAUCAUGGAGCUUGAUUGGCGGGGCGAUAUGGCGGCUGGAGCAACGGAGCGGAGUGGCUGGUUUGGGUGAGUGUGUUUCUGGUGAAAAGAUGGGUGUCUCAGCUGGAGGAGCGGACGGGAUGGAUGCAAACGGUGGCCCCGGAGAAGGCGAUACUAGAGUUGUAGAAGGCGAUGGUGAAGGGUUUGGAUCAAUCUGAGAAGAAGGUUCCAUAAUGAGUUCGGAAGGUCGAGAAGGAGAGGAAAAGUCAUCAUUUUCUGUGGCGGGAGACGGUGUGCUUGUGUGGUUGGAAAGAAGAGGGGAAAGUGCGUGAGAAGUAGAGUCAAAUGAGGAAGAGAUGUCGUGGGCCACCAAGGGGAUUGGACCAGAAUUAUGGGUCAACGAAGGGAGAGUAGAGUUGGGCUUGAGAGAGACAUAAGGAAAAAUAUCUUCAUGAAAUUUGACAUCUCGGCUAGUAAAGACCUUUUUUGUUGAUAAAUCAAAUAAUUUGUAUGCUUUCUGACCAACAGGAUAACCGAUGAAGAUGGAUGGCAUGGCACGGUAAUCAAAUUUGUGAGAGGUGUGAACAUUGGUGGCAUAGGCUAAACAUCCGAAAACACGGAGAUGGGAGUAAGAAGGUGGUUUUGAGUAAAGCAAUUCAAAAGGAGUUUUGAAAGACAAUAUUGGUGAAGGUAACCGAUUGAUGAUAUGUACGGCAGUGAGAGCACACUCCCCCCAAAAUUGAGUGGGAACUUGAGCAUGGAAUUUCAAAGCUCGGGCUACUUGUAAAAUAUGACGAUGUUUGCGUUCCACAACCCCAUUUUGUUGAGGCGUGUAAACACAAGAAUGUUGAAAGAUGACACCAUUAUCUUGGAAAAAGGAACGAAGUGAGGUAAAUUCUUUACCAUUGUCACUUCGAAAAGUUUUAAUGCGAAAUUCAAAUUGUGUGAACACAUAGCUGAAGAAACGUUUUAAAAGUGAUUGUGCUUCAUCUUUAUGUCGCAUUAAAAAUAUCCAAGUGAAACGUGUAUAAUCAUCGACAAUAGUGAGAAAGUAAUGGGCACCAAACAGAGAAGGGUGUCGAUAACGUCCCCAAAUGUCACAAUGAAUAAUCUCAAAAGGUUUUGUAGAAGAAAUAGCACUAGUACCAAAAGGUAAACGACUUUGCUUAGCCAAAGGACAUAUAGGGCAAGCAUUAUUGGACUGAACAGAAAAAUUCAAAAAAUUCUUGGCAAUGAAACUCAAACGAGAAGGUGAUACAUGGCCUAAGCAACUGUGCCAGAGAUCAGUGGAAGAGAUGGCGAGAUUGCAGGCUGGUUGGUUUGUGGAUGAGGAAUGGUUGGUUAGAGAUUUCUCCGUCGCUAGUGCCACCAAAUAGUAUAGUCCAUCACGUUGUUUACCCAAACCAAUCGUCCUCCUCGUAGCCAGAUCCUGCAAAAUACACCAAUAAGGGAAAAACGUCACUGAACAAUUUAGACCUUUUGUCAAACGACUAACUGAUAUUAAAUCAACUUUGAAUGUAGGCACAGAUAAGACAUCAUGCAGAUAAUAGACGGAAUUCAGAGGCAAAGUCCCUUUCGUAACGAUAUUCGCUUUUUCUCCACUAGGCAAUAAUACGGGCGGUAACAAGCAAUUUUUAUCUUUAUGCAAUAACUUAGAGGAUGAAGUAAUAUGAUCUGUCGCCCCACUAUCAAUAAUCCAAUUGCGGGAAGCGACUUUGGACAAACCUGGCUUUGUUACCGCAUUCACUUUGGAACUAGAGUUUUCAUCUUGGUUAUUAAGAAGUGACAAAAGUUGCUUGAGUUGGGCUUCUGACAAUGCAACUGCAGGUUUCCCUUCAUCUGCCUCAGAAACUUGGUUAGCCGCAGAAAAACUUUUAUUCCGAUUUGAGUUUAGCCUAAGUUCAUUCUUGCUUUUGGAUGGUCUGGUGGGUAUCCAUGUAGUUGAAAACACUUUUGGACCCAAUGACCCAUAUCUCCACAAUACGAGCACUGGGGGUGUCCUCUACCAGAACCCAUGCGGCGCCGAUCUUGAUCAAAAAAUGGUCUGCCAUCUUGUCCUUGAGAAGACCGAUUCUCCCGGAAAUUUUGAGAACCAGAGGGGCGAUUAGUCGGUUCCAUCCUUCUUGUGUUCGAUCGAUCUAUUCCGUCCUUCCAGGUUGCCGAAGACUUGUCGUUGCUGCGCACGGCCAUAGCAGCACUUGCGGCAGAUUCCGCUGCUGCGUUCGUCGAAGUGAGGAGGCGUUGCUUUUCUUCUUGAGAGACAGAGAAGUAUGCUUGGCGGACAGAAGGAAGAGGAUUCAUCAGGAGGAUUUGCCCGCGAAUAGCACUGUAAGAUUCAUUCAAACCCAUCAGAAAUUGCAUCAAUUUUUGUUGAUCUUGUUGUGCCCCAUGUGCUGCAGCGUUGUAGGAAGCCAGUUCAUCCCACAGGCCUUUCAAUUUUGUGUAAUAGGCAGAGACAGAGAGUUGCUCUUGUCGAAGACAAGCAAUAUCUCGCUGAAUUUCAAAGAUGCGAGGCGCAUUGCUCUGAGAGAAUCGCUCACAGAGAUCUUCCCAAACUUCAUGAGCAGUAGAAUAAUAGAUUACACUGUCCGCAAUUUCUGGAUUGAGAGUAUUGACGAUCCAGGAGUGAACCAUGUCGUUACACCGUGACCAAGUCGCAUAACCUUCAGGAUCAAUUUCUUCUGAAGGAGCCUUGAUCGAGCCAUUAACAAAACCCAAUUUGUUCUUAGAGUUUAAAGCUAGAAUCAUAGCCCUUUUCCAAGCCGAAUAAUUGUCUCCAUUCAAAGAUUUGGAAAUCAAAACCAAACCUGGGUGAUCUGAAUGGUGAGUGAAAUAGGGAUUGGAGAGAUCUGCCUUUGAGAAAUUCGUAGGAAUCUCUGAUUUUGCCAUGAUGAUUGAAGAAAAGAGAUGCUACACGAGAGAUUAGAGUGCAACAAUGAAUCAGGAUUUUAGUCCUGCUCUGAUACCAUGAAAAGAAGAAGAAUUGGCUGAAUAAUUAUUAUUGAUGUUGAAGUGUGUAUUUAUACAAGGAGAUUUGAGAUCUUUUUCUACAAGUCAGGAAUCAGCUUACCAUAUUCUAGACUAUCCAUCUAUAAGUCAGGAAUUACAAUAGGAAAACUAACAUAUACAAAUCAUCUAUUCUUAAUAUGGAAGAUUUAGAAAGAUUGACUUUCCAACAAGAUACAUUACCUUUUUUCUUUCCAUUCUGCAACUAUCAGAAUGCAAGCUGCUCAUGGUUGAAGUCUAGAGUAGGCUGACUUAGAAGGGUCCUAAGCACCUCACAUCACAAAAAAUUAAUGACAAAUUUUGUGGAAGUGACAAUAACCAACUUCUCAAAACCUACGGUUUGGGGUUGAGAUACAUCACCUUUUUUCUUGCCAUUCUGCAACUAUAAGAAUGCAAGCUGCUCAUGGUUGAAGGCCAACACAGAAGAGAGGGAUCCUAAGCACUGCACAUCACAAAAAUUUUUUGCACCUUGUUGAAAUCUCAAGUAGGCUGACUUAGAGGGGUUCUACCCGCCACACAUCACAAAAAAUUAAUGACAAAUUUUGUGGGAGUGACCAUAACCAAGUUCCUCAAAACCUCCAAGGUUCAGUUCAAGAUAUAUUACCUCUUUUCUUGCCAUUCUACAACUAUAAGAAUGCAAGCUGCUCAUGGUUGAAGGCCAACACAGGAGACGGAUCCUAAGCGCUGCACAUCACAAAAACUUUUUGCACCUUGUUGAAAUCUCAAGUAGGCUGACUUAGAGGGGUUCUAAGCCCCACACACCACAAAAAAUUAAUGACAAAUUUUGUGGGAGUGACUGUAACCAACUUCCUCAAAACCUCCAAGGUUUGGGUCAAGACACAUUACCUUUUUUCUUGCCAUUCUGCUACUAUAAGAAUGCAAGCUGCUCAUGGUUGAAGACCAACACAGAAGGGCAACCCUGCAGAGCGGUAGAGAGCAUCACAGAAGAUAUUAGUAGUUUCAGACAUUCAAAAUCAGAAAACUCAGAGUUCAGCAGCAUUCAUACCUCUAAAACAGAAUCAAAUGCUAAUUAGAGUUUGUUAAGCUACCAACUUGCAUAAAAGCUUGAGCUAUUUGGAUAAUGAGCCUACAAUACAUCAGCCAUGAAAUCUUUAGUUGACCAACAAGAGCUCUGCUACCAUUUUAAGCUACCAAUGUCUAUGAAAGAAAGAACUAUCUGAUACAUGUGAGAACUAGGAAAGUCUAGUUUGUUACAGAUGCCAGUGUGCAGUGUGUGUGGGAAAUUCUUAAAAUGCUUUAAAUUUGAAAAGAACAAGCAAACAAGGGAAAAGAAGAGAAAAAGAUACCAAUUGAUCAUAAAAGAACCAAAUUGCAGAGGAGUAGCAGAGUUUGCUCCCAUUAUGACUUAGAUGCAAAAGAAAAGAACUUUAAGUUGGAAAAUUUCCCAUGAUCUAGUGAUAUAUUGUUGAUGAUGAACAUGAUGUAGUUGCAUCACCAAUGUCAUCCUUCUUCUCCUCUUUAGGAUGGAGGAACCUCAUAUCGUUCUCCUGAAGCUGCUGCCCCACGAAAUAUGGCUCAACUUGACCAAUCGGGUUUCCAUGACUGUUGAAGUCAAAGCCAGGCAGACCCAGAUUUGCAGGUGGGGGGAGAUUCAAUGGCAAUGAAAUUGGGAAAUCUGGGGCUACUGGAGCAACUGAACCAGGUUGGUGGGGAUCAGCAUUAUUAGAAUCCAGUCCAAAAGGAGCAUAAAGCAUGGUAUUUUGCAGGGGAGGGAACUGCAUUGAAUAAAGGGAGGAAGGACCAAAUUUCAUAUCAUUAGCAAAGUUCCCAAGCAUACUGUGCCUUAUAUACUGAUUGCUGAAUUCAGGUUUUAUGUCAAAGUGGGGGACAAGAUCUUGAAGUAGUGCUUCUGGCCUUGGGGCAUUAGCAUUCCUGUGCAAAGCCAGUGCUGAUUGAGCACCAGGAGCAGCUGAAGGCAAAUUUCCACCACUUGAAUUCACAUGACUGCUGUUUCUGGCUGCAGGCACUUCAUGAUUGUGUUUUCCUUCAUAUGUCGCAAUUAUGGAUUUCUGAUUGUUGGAAGCUCUUUCCACAUGCCUCCUCACUGAGCAUCCAGUGCUUGUGCACUUGUAGUAAUUCCUGAAGGAAUGAAAAGUUUAGGGAACCAAUAUUUUCAAUACAUGCUGUUGAACAGCAUGAAUUACUCAUCUUGCCAAUUUAAAAAAUUACUAAGCUGAACUUUGAUGCACUCAUAAAAAUAAGGACUAUAGCAUAUGAAUUUUGUGACCUAAAAAAUACCACGGCUUAUUAAAAGAAAUACUUUGAAUCAUUCUAAGUAACAUUUAUCCUUCAUAUCAUAUAUUGAUUCAUCAACAUUCAAAUAGGAGUUCCUGCCAUAACCCACACUGAUUGCUUUCUUUAUUUGCAUCUGUUUUUUUAAUAAAUUAAUUUAUUCUUCUUUUUCUCCGUCUUCUUUUAUUUUUAUUUUGUAUUUUAUAUAUAUAUAUAUUUGGGAAACAUAAAAAAUACAGUACAAAGGAAACAAAAGAAAACCAGUACCUAGGAUGCAGAUUGCCUUUGACGACUUUUUGUCCAUACUUUCGCCAGCGAUAUCCAUCAUUAAGGACGUCCGAUUCACACUCUACUUGGACAACAACCCUUGGUUCACGUACAGUCCUGGAUGCCAAAUUUUUUUCAGUCAUACAAUUCUCUUUCUUCCUGAAAUGACAAGGCAACUUAAGAGAUGUCUUAUGUAGUUUAUCGUGACCUGAAACUAAACACCAGCUAUAAAAAUAAUGAUAAUAGGUAAAAAAAUAAAACUCUGAAGACACCUUUUUUUUGACUGAGAACCUUCAUCAUCAGCAUCAUCUCCAAGUGAUAUGCUUCCUUGAGUAGCCCCAUCUUCACCAUCAUCUUGACUAGCAACUGUUAAGGAAAGAUCUGGGGUUCCUGCUGAUUCAAAUAUACCCAUGGAUAUUCCUCCUGUGUUUGAUAAGGAGUUGGAGAGCGCACUUACAGCAGAUGUUGAGGAUGUCCUCUCCAAACCAUUGGCCCUCCAAUCAGAACCAGCUCUAUCAUUCUUAGAUCCUGGUUGAACGUUUCUCCAAAUUGAGCCACCUUCAACUCUGACACUAGAUCCACCACCUUCCCCCAAACCUGACAUCUCAUUAAAUGGAAGUGUGGAUCCAAGAGCUGAUCGACGACUAGGCAGUGGUUUUGGGUGGUUAUGACCACCCUUAUAGAUAAUUUCUGUUAUUUGACCAUCAUGUGAUUGUUGUACCUUUUUUCUCAUUGGACAAUCUAGAUGAGUACAUUUAUAAUAGCUCCUUGUAUGUUCACUACCUUUCAUACUUUUUUGCCCAUAUUUUCUCCAAUUGUAUCCAUCUUCUGAAGUUCUUCCCAUUCCCAUGGAAGGGUAUGUGCCUUUCUGUUCUUCUGGAAUGUGAUGCAUCCCUACAUUCUCACUGUGGAUAGGCUCCUUGUGCUGAGACAUGUGAUCACUAGGUAUAUCAGAAAUCAUAGUGUUUGAAACUUUUACAUCAGUGGCAGAAUCAAACACAUAGUUUUUAGCAGAAGCUUCUGUAGAGAAUUCUGUGGCAAAUUCGAAACCCACUGGUGAAUGUGUUGGAGCACAAGUUUGAUAGUGAACUUCAGCCCCAAAACUUUGAGCAAGAUCGGAAGGGGAAGAAACCUAAUCAAACCAUAAAUGCCACACAUUUAGAUUUCACUCAAAUAUGUCUAAUUUAUGUGCAUGGCCUGGAAACAAAGACAUUGCACUGCAGCAUGAAUGUAUUCAUUUAAGCAUGUGAUUUAUGGAACAUAUGCAGUUCGGCAUCUACGUGUAAGAAUGACUUUGCAUAGAAGAACAAAACAGGGUAGCCUUAAAUAAUGUUAGGCAAAAUGUUGGCCGUACAAUAAACAACAUAAUGUGUAACCUCAGAAAUUAAUAUGCACCACAAGUUAAUCUAAUAAAAAAACAAGUAAUUAUCUCAGGCUCCAUAACAUUAAUUCAUAAUGCACACUUUUGGAAAAUGUGAAAAGCAUAAAGAUGGAUAUAUGUCUGAUUGUAUGCUCAACAUGCUGGACUUGAUAGGAGAAUAGUCCGCUAAACUAACUUACAUGUGAUGCCUUGAGUAAAUUCUGUACUUGAGUAACACUAUAUAGGAAGUAAUACCUUGUCUUUAAAAGAAGACACACUUUCCCUUAUUGGUGUACGGUAAAUGUGAUUAAAAUUUAGAAUGAGAUUUGGUACCUGAUUCCUUAAUCUCUACUAUCACAUCAGUUUUAUCAGAAUAUUCAUUUAAGCAUUUUGGUUGAUACACCCACUUGAGUCUAAUAUCAUAUUCAAUGAAUUUUUCUCUAAUCAACAGUGACUAGUGAGCAAUAGCACAAGAGAACCCUCUAUCACAAAGUAAAGUCAGUGUGGUGAUUUGUGUAAGGCACAACAAAGGCACAUGCUAUUGUAUGACAAGGAUUAUAAGAAGUUCCUGAAUAUGAAGAAAGGUAGUGCUCUUUUCCUGAUAGGCAAAAAGAAUAAUAUGUAUUAAAAGAGCCUACAAAAGCACACACCGAAGUAUAUAUGAAGUACACAACAAGUGCCAUCAGGCAAGCAGAAAGGAAGAGAAAACCAAAAACAACCCCCCUUUACCUACUUUGAACUCUACCAAUCUACAAAGCCUACCAUGCUCAAGGAAUUGUCACCUAUGUGAACAGUCUAAUCCAAUCCAAAAAGGCACACCUAGAGGAAGAUUUGAUUGUUUGAUCCAACUAUUCAGUAUCUUUGAAUGACUUCCUAUUUCCUUCCAUUCACAACAUCCAAAAAAGACGCAAAAGAACUUCAUUCGCACAAAAUAAUCAUGUCAGCUCUGAAGGUUUCCUAUUACUCAAGAAUGCAUUACCUAGGCUAUUCCAAAAAGAGAAAAAAUUCAGCUGUUAUAGAAUUCUUGCUUUGGGACUAUGAAGAAGCAUAUGAUCAAUUGACUCCUCUUCCCCUUUCCACUUGUAGCAUCUAUUUGGUAGAGUCCAUCCCCUCCUUUUGAGUUGAUCAAACGUUAAAAUCCUUUCCCAUACAGCUUUCCAAGCAAAGAAACUCACCUUUGUAAGGUUCCAAGGGUCCACACCAUGCAUGUAGGGAAAGACCCACUUCUUUCCUAAAAGAGGCAUGGAAAGGUUUGUAAGAGAAUUUCCCACACUCAGAUUCCUUAUAAUUCAGUCUAUCUUCUUCAUCCCUUCUAAUUGAGGUCAAUUGCAGCCUUGAAUCAAAGGCUUCAUUUGCAAUGAGGAUUACAUCCAAAAUUUGUCUACCCUCCACAAAAGCAUGUUUGUAAGACGAAACCACCUUACCUACCACUUUCUUUACUCCAUUAGUCAAGACAUCUGCUAACCUUUGUAUAGGACCCCAUCUAGGCUAAUGAGUUUGAGAUUUUUCAAGUCCUCAGCUACCCCUCCUCUUUGGAAUCAAAACCAAGAGAGUAGCAUCUAAGCUUCUCUUGAAGGAGCCAUUAUGAAAAAACUCUAAAGAAGUCCGUCACCUCAAGUUUUACAAAGUUCCAACCCAUUUAUUAAAUACCAUAGUGAAACCAUUUGGCCUGAAGCUGUAUCUUCACUCAAACUGGACGAGGCUGCUAGAACUUCCUCCUCAGAGAAAGGAACAUUUGGUUUCCCAGAUUCGUCACUUCUUAACUUUUCAAAGGACAUCCCACUGAUGUUAGGUCUCCAAUCCCCCAAUUAGAAAAGAGAUUUUGGAAAGCCUUGGACAACCCCCUCCUUUGUGUCUACUUCCUAAGACCACCAUUUACUCAACUUUGGUCAAGAGAUUUCUUCUUCUUUGAUCAUUGACCACUUUUUUUUUUUUUUUGGAAGAAUUUGGUAUUAUUAUCCCCCUAUUUUAACCAAAUUUUGCUUAAUUUUUGCCCCUACAUGGUUUCUUCCAACAAAGCCGAUUUGCUAAAAUCAGCUAGUGCUAUUUUUUAUUUUUUUUGUUAAGGGUCUCAAAUUUUUUAUUUGUGACAUUCCCAAAGACCUCUGUGAAUGGCCUUUAGCUUUGCUGCCAACAUAUGACUACAGAAACCUCUCACAUUGUAACCUUGUGAGGUCUUUGAAUCCUUCUGCUUUAAGCCACAUGUUUUCAAAUCUAAAAGGUGAUUUGCCCCUCAACAUCCCUCCUCUGUCAAGAACUAUGUGAGCGUGAUUUUCUGUACUGUUCUUUUCAAUAUUCACUUAUCUUGUCAAGUUUCUCUUCUUAACAUAAUAACUGAUAACACAAGAAGUAACUUCCGCUUUCUUUUCUGUGUCAGCCCAUUCAUAGUAGAAGGUGAUUUAGUAAAAAUCAAGCCUACACUCUCAUGCCCUGUAAGUGUGUCAGCAAGCUUGAUCCAGUUACAUGCAUCCACACACAAAUAUACCAACAUAUAUAAGAUUAUAUUAUUGAGUGAAAAUAUUUAAUGAUUGCAGGUUGAGUUGGGUCACAACACCUUAACCUGAGCAAUUUGGAUGAGAUUUUUCACCCAAGCCCAAUCAUUAGGACAAAAAAACUAACCUGAGCCUUCUAAUUUUCAGCCUGGUAAGCUGGCCAGUCCAACCAAAGUUGCAACCCCACAAAGAAAAGUAAUAGUAGUUUCUUAUCAAUUUCCUUCCAUGGCAUUGCCACCCACUAAAAAAAAAAUUGAGAUGAAAGUGGAAAAAUUCAAUGGGAGGAUCCUCAGAAAUAUACUCCCAAGCAUGGAUAUUGCCUAUGAUCACAAGAGAAAAUUAGCAAAAUAUUACAAAACAACAAAUAGGAUAUGAACCAAGCCUUCCACCCCUUCUUUCCCCUGGGAAAUGACUGCUAGGUUUUAUAAAAUGCAAAACAAGAGAAAGGAAACUUUCUUUCAAUACUUUCAAAAUCAUCCAUCUACUUUUGGAGAAAAAAAAAAAAAAAAAAAGAGCUCAAUUCUGAGUAGGAAGAAAGAAUUUAAGGAAUUGGCAAAAUAGACAAGAAUAAAACUUCCUCAUUGCUUAGCUAGGGAAGAAAAAUCAUUUCAAAGGGUCAAUGGGCCUGAUCUUGAAACUAAUGAAACAUUUCCUAGGCUUUUGAAAUUGGUACUCCAAUGCAAUUCAAGGCUUUGUAGUCAGAUCCCUGGCAUAGAAAAGAUAUUCUUUCUUGAUAAAGUUGGUUACUUAGGAUAAAGCGUAAUAUUGCAUCCUUAGAAACUCUGUACAUGAAGCUUCUGAUGCAGAUAUUUAAAAAAUUAAAAAUAAAAAAUUAUGAAACUAAGGAACACAUAAAAUGGUAAAUACUUUCCAAUAUUAUAUGUAGUUGGACCAUGCCCCAAUGAGUCCAACAGUUUAGCUGCCCACAUUUCAAAGCAUAGGCAUGAAAAUAGAAAAUUAUGAAAAGGAUCAUGAGGAUCAAGCAAACUUUCUACAAAUUCCUUACAAACCCAAGAGAAGAGAUUUAGAGUGUUCUUGGAAAAAUUAGAACUAGGUUUAUAAGAACUGAAUAACUUCUCACCCACCAAAGACCUCAAAAAGACUUUGGGAGCUACCUGGAAACAAAUGAAAGCUGCAAAUAUGAUAACUAUUAGAUUAUAUGCAUUAUCCACAUUAUGCCCCAAAUUUGUGUUAUGUUAAACAUUUCCACUUAUUAGUUCAACACCAUGAAUCUGAAAUUUGUAAUACUCAACCAGCAAUAGCAAUUAAGAUCAAACAGAAAUUACCUGAAUUUCUAUACUAGAAAAGCAUGGCAAAGAGAUGGGAUUUGCAUGUGAUUUGAACUUGCCGGAGGCACUGAAGUUAUUGGCCUGAUCACCAUCUACAGUAGGAGCCACUGAAUUUACUGAACCUUCAUGAAUGAGAGAAGGCACUUGAAAAGUUCCAGUUGUAGGAGACAGUUGUGCCUAAAAGGAAAUUAAAAGAAUAUACAUCAAAAGGAAUUGAAAGGACUCAAUAUCCAUGCUUUAGUGCAACAUAACGAUAAAUGUCUUCAAGGAAACAGGAAAUAAGGAAACAGCAAGUUGAGUGUCAAUAUCUAAUGUCCCAGGAAAAAAUGCUUCUGUCCCUUUGUUCAUCCUGCCUUCUGGCUAUUGGUUGUCUAAGCUGAAAGUAUUCUUUGAUUCAGCAAUGGAUGCUUUAGUGUCACAUUGGUUCAAACCCCACUGUGUAAUUAAAAAUUGGAUAUAUCAGCCAUGCCUUACAGAUUAUCUGUCUCCUGAUCUUUAGUGUUACAUUGGUUCAAGGACUACUGUGUACAGCAGGAAAAGUUUGGUAUGGGUGAAUAAGGGCUCAAAUAUAGGUUGAGAGCCUUUGUAGUGGAAUUUUAGAAAAGAUUAAGAGGCAAUAUGAGACAACCACUCUGACCAGUUAGCAGUUUGAAGACAAAUUGAAGGGCAACCGAGCAAUUUGCACUAUUAGGUGCAGGUGCCAAUGCUUCAUCGAAUAAUAAAGUGGUGACUCAACAAAAACAAGCCAAGUUGGUCCCAUCUUUGGAUCCAAAACCACCCCAAGGCAUAUGGGCACAUAGGGUGGGUAUUUAAUGAGAAUUAUAUCUGAAUUUCAUACCCUAAUGGAAAAAAUAUCAGGGCACCUGUGCCAUGUACCUUACAAGUACCAGAAUCAUCAAAUUGUCACCUUGGCAAACUCAUGGAGGUGCCUAGGCACAUAGGAUAUUCUUUAUUGCGUGAUUGGGAACCUGCAGUCUGAGGAUGGGCUCUUCUUGAUGUAGUCAGGAACGAGGAUAAGUAUGAUUUACUACUCACAGCUGCUAGUGGGUAAUGGCAAAGGAAGGAACAUGCAGUUGCAUCAAUAUUCAACAAAGAAGGCUACCAAUAGUGUUCAUCCUAGUAGUGUUUCUAGAAGCUAUCACCAAUGUUCUUCUCAAUAGAAAUGAGAGAAAUGGUAGUAAUGGAUGGAAAGUUGUCCUAGAAGGGAAUUCUUGGUGAAAUCCAUAUAGCUUAUACUUCCUUUUGGCUUCCUUAAGAGUUUAUUGGAUAUAUAGCCAAAGAGAUAUGGCAAUUUGGAAGAAAAAAUUUCUAACUUUGCAUCAAGGCAACAGGGUAGAACAUGUUUAGUUGGUGCUGCUUAUGUAGCAGGGAUGAGGAAUCAAUGAAUCAUCUGUCUUUCACAACAUUUGGCUUUCAAAUAGGAGAGAUAAUGCGUUAUCUCUAUAGAGCUAAAAUUCAUAUUUUAAUCAAUGAAUGUAUUUAAAACCAAAUGUUUAAAUAAAAGAUGACAAUAAAGCAACAUCUUGGAAAGCAUUUUGAAUUACACUUAAAAAUAAAAUAAAAUAAAAUAAAACCUUAAUAUUAGGAAGAAAAAUAUGAAAAAAAAAAAAAAUUAAAACAUAAUACAUCAAAUUUUCAUGACUUUACAAAUUUUUUUUUCUUUUUUUUUUAUUAAGGAAAAAUCUUUCAUUUUUUUUAUCAUUAUUUUAUUUUUUCAAAUUUUGUCCCUUAAGAUUUGAAAUAAAAAUAUGAAAAAAAAUAAAAACAUAAACAUCAAAUUUUUAUGACUUUGCUAUUAAUUUUUUUCCCUCUUUUUAUUAAAAGAAAAUUCAUUCUUUUAUCACUAUUUUAUUUCUUCUUUUCUUUGACUUUAUUAUAUAAUAAAAUUUUCUCAAACUUCUUACUAAAAUUUCAUACUAAAAUAUUUUUUUAUUAUUUAAAUACAUAAUCAUGCUAGAAAACAUUUUUUAGAGGCAUGAUUAUGCUUGAAAACAUUUAGCAUCAUUUAUGACUUUUUUUUUCAAUAAAAUACAAAUAUGGUUUAUAUUUAUUAGAUUACUUAUAAUAGAAGAUUUUAUAUUAUUUUAAUAACAGCUAAAUAAUGAUUAAAAUAAACUUAUGUCAUUUAUUAGAUUAAAACAUUAUAAGACGUUAUCUUCAAUGUAUAUAUAUAUAUAUAUAUAUAUAAUGACCAAAAUAAAAUAUAUUAUUUAUUAAAUUACUAUAUAUACAUAUCAAGAUGAAGAUAAAUAAUAAUUUAGUUUAAAAUUUUUAUCUUUCAAAAAAAACUAAAAUAAAUAACACUAAUACAAGAGACAUUGAUAUUUAAAAACUAAAAAAAUAAUAAUUUAAGAUAAAAAAAAUUAAUAAUAAUUUAUUAGAUUACAAAGACAUUAUUUUUUUAACUCCUAUCUCUUUAUACCCUCUAUUUUGCCAUUUUGCCUUUUGCCUUUAUGCACAUAAAUUUUCACUAAUAUCACAAGAGACUAAAAGAAAGAAAAAAAUCAUGGAAUUGAAAAUAAAUAAAAAUUAUUUUUAUAACAUUUGCAAAAGGGAAAAGUGUGUUUUCAUACACUCAUAUGAAAAAAACUACAAAAUAGGAACCCAAAUUUAUAAAAUACAAAUUUCAAACGGCUAUCUAAAAAUAAUUAGCAUUUCAUACAUUUUUUUAUCAAAGGUAUGAACUUUUAAUGAUAUAGGUACUAUCUUUGACUAUCUUAGAUACUUUGACCGAAAAGUACAUGAAACUUAAAUUAUUUUUAGUAUUUUGUGAUUAUUUUCAUAUGAAUAUAUGAAAACACACUUUUUCCUUUGCAAAUGACGUUCAUUAAAUAAAUCAUAUAAUUAUUUUUUAAAAUUAAAAAUAUCGACCAUAAUCAAAUAUUUAUUUUAAUGAUUUUUAAUAUUUAAAUAUUUAAAACUUUAUUUUAAAAUAUUUUGGAUUGGUGAGAGGGGCAAUCCCCCAGCUUCAAAACAUUACAACAAGGAUAUAGUUUUGGCAAUUGUUGUUUUAGAUAAUUUUUUAAUAGAAAAUAGUUUAAAAAAAAAAAACUAAUAAUACAACAUUGAGAAUGAUUGAAAAACCUUGGAGAACAUUUCAAGUUCCAAAUAUACUUUUGUUCCAAAAAAACACCAAAGAAUGUGUUUUGAAAACUUCCCUCAAAAAUUGUUCUUUGAGAAAUGUUUUCAAAAAUGUUCCCAUAAAUGGCCUUAAAUUCUAAACCUUCAACCCUAAAUCCUAUCCUGGAGAUUCACAAAACCACAUCAUACAAUUUUUGAACCGAAACAGAAAAAAUUAAAUCACCAAACCCACCUAAUUAUUCACCCAUUUAUUACAAAAUCAUACCAUUUCUAGAAAAUUCCAAAUUUUAAGGUAAAAAAACAGCUACAUCCAUUUGCAUUUUGAUUGAAACUGAUCCUUUUGGACCAAUCAGAGAAACCAUAGUCCACCAAACACACCAAUAUUUCAUUCGAAAUUCCAUAGAAUGUAUACAAAAAUCCAGUCGUAAUCAACAAUUAACAUUCCGUUUCGAAGUGUUUCUAAAAAGCACUUCUAGUCUAAAAAGUGUUUUUUUGAAGAAAAAUGAAGUUUGCCAAAAUAAAUAAACAAGAAUUGAAUUUCACCUGAGUGUUGGGGAGCAUGAUCGGAGAAUCGAGCAAGACGGUGGGACUGAUGCCCGGAGGUAUAAUGAGGGGCGGCGACCGAGCCGCCGGCAACGCCAAGAGUCUGGAACACCUGAAACGCGGCGUUUUGAUUAUGGAAGCAUCAAAGCCAAACUUGGCGGCUCUCCUCUCCGCAAUGCUCCCGCUAUUUAUUCUAGUCGAAUCCAUGCCAUCCAUGGAGGAAAAAAUGACUCAGACUUCCAUGGAGGUAGCAGCAGCAGCCAUACUGGGUAGAACCCCAGAUUUCUGAAGCUUACGUUUCGAGGGUGGAGCUGAAACUGAUAGAUUGGUGGGAAACAACGUCCUUUGACGUUGUUUCCUACCAUCACAAUUUUCUUUCUCCGGGAAGGUUGGGAGUGUGGAUUUUAAUUUAAAGCCUAAAGAAGGGAGAGAGGAGACUCCACGUGGCAAACGUUACAUACGAAAAUCUGGAGAACGAAUUUAAACGACCAACCAAAAUUCAGGAUUUUGUUGCAACUGGAAUUAUUUUUUUCAUUUUAUUUUUAUUAAUAAUUGUAAUUAGAAAAAAAUAAAAUAUUCAAAAAAGUUAAAGGUGGAAUAUUUUUUGAAUUACUUGAUUAAAAUAUGAUGAAAUAACCCCAUUUUAUGGUUUUAACCAUAUUUUUAUUAGAAGAGUAAUCUAUUUUUGACAUAAAUAUUAUUGAUUAUUUGAGGUAUUCAUGUAUAAGUUUUAAAAGAAAUAAUUAUUUUUACAAGAAAAUAAUAAAUAUAUUUUUAUUAAAAUAUAAUAAAAAAACUAAUGAAGGAUUAGAUUUUUGAAAUUAAGUUUUCAAACAGUUUUAAUUAAAUAACCUAUUUUUCUUUUUCUUUUUUGUCGUAUAUAAUAUAUUUGGCCGAGAUUAUUUGACCCCUAUUAAAGGGUAAUCUGGUUUCUGGAUAUCACGAUAUUUUAGGAAGUGAUUUUUAUUUUAAGAAAUGUCCACAAAUUUAUUUAGUUGAUCAUAAAUUUCAUGUUAGGUAAAUAACUUUUUAUUCUUUUUAUAAAUAAAAAUUUAUACGAAUAUUUAAAAAAUCACAAAGUAGGAAUCUAUUUGUAAAAUCUAAAUAUACUAUUUUUAUUAAAAAUAAUUAAAAUUAUAUACACUUUUAGAUAAAAAAUUAUUAUCUCUUAUCAAACUACCAUUUUAUAAUACAAGUACUAAUUUUAUCCAUUGCCUUACUACUUUGAUUUGAGAGUGCCAUAAUUAGAAUAUAUUUAAAAAUAUAAUUUUGUGUGUUUUUAUAAGUACUUAUUUUAAUCGUCUAUGUUACUAUUGAUUCGAGUGUAUGGAAUUUAAAUUAUUUUUUUAUGAUUUUUAUUUUUAUUUUUUCAAGAUAUAUUUUUCACUAAAUAUUAUAUAAUUCCUUAUUUCUACCAAUAAUAAUGCUAAUAAUUGCUUAAUAAUAUUGUGGACCCCGCAUUUUGGCACGAUGCGUUCCCACUUGAUGGCAAAACUCGUUUUUUUGUUUAUUUGGUGAAAAAUUAAUUUGAGAAAAAACACUUGAAGUUGCCACUUAUUUUUGUUUUAUUUUUAAAGGGUAAAUAAAAUAAGAAAGAAAAACCCUAAGUGUAACUCCUUAUUUGGAAAAGGUGGUCUGUGAAAAGUUAAGUCUGGGUUUGGGGGUCAGGUUACUCAUUGGGAAGGUACGGUAAAGACCGUAGCACCCCUCUAAGCCCCUAAGAAUAGGUCUCUACUAAAUAAGGUAAAAUAAGUGUGGUAAUUGAUGAGGAAAUUAAUGGAUACAAUGAAAUGAUUAAGUAAUAAAACGAAUCACGCGUAAGAGUAAGCAAAAUGGGAGUGGGAGUGUACCUUAGCAGCGAGUAAUAGUCGCUAUCAUGGAAACGUGGUUAGCUCAAGUAUAAAAUCAUCACAUGCAUAUCAAAGAGUAAGACUAAAAUCAAGCAACAUUCAUUAAGUAUAACAGUCAACAAUCAAAAGAAAAAACUUAUAUGUAGGGCUUCUACCAAAGCCUAAUUUAUCUUGCAUGAAUUGGUCUCACAAAUUUCCUUAUUUCGAAAUUAUGGAAAAAAAAAAUCAUUCUUAUUUAUAUAAAAUCAAGAGAAACGGAAGAUUAUUUGAAAAUUAGAGUGGAAUUAAAACGGUUCGAAAGAAAAUUAGAUUUUUGAAAUUUAUUUGAAAAUUGGAGUCUUGGGAAUUAAAUUUAAGAAUUGGAAUUUUUGAAAUUAAAUUAGAAAGAAAUUGGAAUUUUUAAAAUUAUUUGAGAAUUAGAGUUUUGGAAAUUAAAUUAAAGACUUGGAACUUUGGAAAUUAAAUUAGAAAGAAAUUGGCAAAUUAUUUAAGAAUUGGAGUUUUGAAAAUUAAAUUUAAGAAUUGGAAUUUUGGAGAUUAAAUUUGAAAGAAAUUAGGAUUCUAAAAAUUAUUUGAGAAUUGGAACUAUGAAAAUUAAGUUAUGAAAAUUGGAAUCUUGGAAAUUAUUUGAAGAUGUAAUUUUUUUUUUAGAAUUAAAUAAAAUGAUGAUGAUAAUAAUAAUAAUAAUAAUAAUAAUAAUAAUAAUAAUAAUAAACAAAUAAAUAAAUGUGAAAAUUGGAAUUUUGGAAAUUGGAAAUUACAUUUGGAAAUCGGAAUUUUGAAGAAUUAUUUAAAGAUAGAAUUUUAAAAAUAAAUAAAUAAAAUAAUAAUAAUAACGAAAAUAAUAAUGAUUAAAUAAAUAAAUAUGAAAAUUAGAAUUUUGGAAAUUGGAAAUUAAAUUCGGAAAUUGGAAUUUCAGAAAUUGAAAAUUAAAUUUGGAAAUCGGAAUUUUGAAGAAUUAUUUAAAGAUGGAAUUUUGAAAAUAAAUAAAUAAAUAAAAUAAUAAUAAUAACGAAAAUAAUAAUGAUUUAAUAAAUAAAUAUGAAAAUUGGAAUUUUGGAAAUUGGAAAUCAGAAUUUUGAAGAAUUAUUUAAAGAUGUAAUUUUGAAAAUAAAUAAAAUAAUAAUAAUGAAAAUAAUAAUGAUUAAAUAAAUAAAUAUGAAAAUUGGAAUUUUUGAAAUCGGAAAUUAAAUUCAGAAAUUGGAAUUUCAGAAAUUGAGAAUUAAAUUUGGAAAUUGGAAUUUUAAAGAAUCAUUUAAAUAUGGAAUUUGAAAAUAAAUAAAUAAAUAAAUAAAAUAAUAAUGAAAAUAAUAAUUAUUAAACGAAUAAGAGCGAAAAUUGGAAUUUGGGAAAUUGGAAAUUAAAUUUGGAAAUCAGAAUUUUGAAGAAUUAUUUAAAUGUGGAAUUUAAAAAUAAAUAAAAUAAUAAUAACGAGAAUAAUAAUGAUUAAAUAAAUAAAUGCGAAAAAUGGAAUUUUGGAAAUUGAAAAUUAAAUUGGGAAAUCAGAGUUUUGAAGAAUUAUUUGAGAAUGGUAUUUUGGGAAAACUAAAUUUUGAAGAUUGGAAUCUUAGGAAAUUAUUUUGAGAAUGAAAAUUCAGGAAAUUAAAGAAAUUGAAAUCUUGAAAAUUUAUUAUGAGAAUGGGAUUUCGGAAAAUUAAAUUUUGAAAAAGUUGGAAUCUUAAAGAAUUAUUUUGAUAAUGGAAUUUCGAAAAAUUAAAUUUCGAAAAUUGGAAUCUUGAAAAAUUAUUUUGAGAAUUGAAUUUUUAUAAAAAGGCGAUUUAGUAGAAUGACACGUGGCUUGAAGAAAUGUAGCCAUGCAUAGUCAAAUACUCCAAUGUGUGCUUUAUAUACAAUAUCAAAUUCAAAUCAAGCUUGUGGACCCCAUCCCAAAAUUUAUUUUCUCCAUGUAUUUAAGCUUAUUCCCAACUUCAUUAUGCUAUCCUCGGUAUGCAACAAACCCAUUUUCAUGUUGCCAAAAUAUCAUACCCACCCCACCAUCCCAUUUUCCCAUGCAUAUAUCUAUCAUACUCACAUCACAAACCCAUUUGUUACACAUAUUCAAUAAGUGAAUCUCAUACUUGGAAUGUGGUUUUUGAACGACAAAGAGACCCGAUUUAUAUUUCUAGAGAGAGAAUGGUGGUGACGGGAAUGCAAAUAUGGGUAUGAGGGAUGAAAAAAAUAGAGAUGGCCAUGCACUUGGGGCUUCAUGCACAUGGGCAUAAUGGAACAUGAGAGAUGGAGAGGAAUGGUGGAGACAUUUGCAAAGGCUGGCCAUGCAUGGCCAUGCAAACGUAAGGGCAUGGGUUUAAUGGAUAUUAGAGGAUAGAAAUGGAAAUGGUGGUGGGUUUGAUGAAGCAUGAAGGUAGGAUGGGAAGGUGGUGAGAUGGUGGGUAUGAUAGGUAAGAUAUGUGAGAGAAACGGGUAUGAGGGCAAAAAUAUAAAUGGCCAUGCACUUGGGACUUAAUGCACGUGAGAAAUGGUGAUGGGCAUAAUAGAACAUGAGGGAUGGAGAGGAAUGGUGGAGACAUUUGCAAAGGCUGGGCAUGCAUGGCCAUGCAAAUGUGGGGGCAUUGGUUUAAUGGAUAUUAGAGGAUAGAAAUGGAAAUGGUGGUGUGGUGUAGAGAGAAAAGGGUGGCAAUGGGUAUGUGAAAAAUGAAAUGGGUUAAUGGGUAUCGAAAUGUAGAAAGAAUGAGUGAUGGUGAACACGUUAAUGGGUAUGGAAGAUAUGGGAUGGGUUGUGGGAUGUGGUGGGAGAAAUGGUGAUAUAGGGUUUCAUGAAGGUGGUGACAUACAUGGGAUAAAAAAAUGGGUAUGCAUGGAAGAGAGGUUGAAGAGAUGGAUGAAGAUCUAAGUGCAUGGUGGAUAGAGAAAGAAUGAAGGUUAGGUAUUGAAAGAAAUGGAGAUGUAAGAUGGCCAUGCAUGCAUGAGGAUAAACAGGAAAGGAAACGUACAAGGAAGUGAAUGGAAAAAAUGAAUGAGAGAAGUAUUGAAGGAAAUGGGUUUAAUAGGUAGGAAUGGAGCUUUAGAGAGAGAGGUGGGUUUCAAGAUGGGUAAUGAGGUAUAGAGAGAGGAAGGUGGUGACGGGUACGGGAUUAGUGGGGCAUGAAGUUGGAAAUGAGUAGUGAGUGGAUGAAAAUGUGGAGAGAGAGAGAGUGUGAGAGAAGGGUGGUAUAUGGCAGUGAGAGAAACAGGUUAGAGAUGGGCAUGGAAAUAACAUCAAUCCAAGUUCAAAAUUUUCCAGAUUCAAUUUCAUAUUAGAAUAUUUCAACUCUCUUGCAUCAUUCUUUAGAUCAAACAUGAACUUCACCGCUUGUUACCACCACUAAGGUCCAGUUCCAGCUCUAAAGAUGAAACUUCCUAUUCUCUGAUGGGCACAAAAUACCCAGAAAAUGAGAGAUAAGCACUAAAUAUUACCAUUGAUCCACCCGAGGCAGAACCUAUAAUGUCAACAGCUUCAUCAACCUAAACUGCCUAAACAAUCUCAUCUGUAUUCUUUGUCUAGGUACCUCCCAAUGACUCUGAUGUUGAGCUCCCUCAGAAGCACCCCAAUUCAGAUGACCAACCCAAGCAUGAUAUUCUCUCCAACUAAAAAAGAACACCCAAAACGGAGGAUACAAUGAAGGAAAAACAGAGUUUGCACAAAAGAAAGUAAGGUUGUUAUAUUUAGCUCCAUCUCAUGCUGAUAAGUGAGCUGAAUAGAGGUGGAAGAAUCUCAAGAAAUGAGAACAGGAUUUCUAUUUAUCAAACUCAAGGAGAGAUUAAUACAUCAAGUGUUUUCCAAAGGGAAACAAAGACAUCGGAACAUGAGGUCCUAACAGAGCAUGCACAUAAAAAAGCAGACAUAGCAAAGCAAACAAGUGGCCCGUGACGUCCACACCAAAUCAUCCAAUGAACCCAAAAACUAUCAGGAAACAAGAUAGAACACUCUAAAAUGAGAAAAUACAAAGGAGUGUCGAAAUCAUACCUGGAUCGGACUGACAAGCUCCUCCACUGUUCCCUCUUCAGUUUCUUUCUAAGGCUCUUCAUUGGUUCAUUCUCAAGCUCUCUUCGAAAAAAUCUCACUCUCCCUCAAGCUCACCCCGUAUCUCCCUACAACAAUCAAAGGAAGCUCCUUUUCUCUCUUCUCCUGCCCAAAAAAUAUCUUUUCUCUCUAAAUCCUCUAGCUAGCUUGCAGAACACGCCCCUUUGUCCCCCUAAGCUAUCCCUACCUCCCUCUAUUUCUAGCCAGCUCUUCGUUCGACUCAAUUUCUUCCAAGAAAACGAAAAAAAAAAAACUCUUUGUCGCCUUCCAGCUUGUUCCACAAGCUAUCUAUAUCCCUAUCACAACCCACAAAAAUGUCUUUCUUGUCAUGCAGCCUCAUUUUCUGUUCAGUUCUGUCUCCCUUCUUCAAACGGUUAUGUCCCCCCUUUUUCAAAUAACUCACCCAUCAUUCCCCUUUGGCUGCGAGUCCUGUCUAGCCGCCUCAUACAGCCUAUUCCCAGGUUGAUGAAGAAUGAGAAAAUAAAACAAAAGAAAUGUCUCAUAUUUGAGGGGGUCUACAAAUAUACUUAUAAUAGGAAAACGAAAAAUGGGGUAUUUACCAUUUUUAAUGUUUCUAUUAUCAGGGGUGUUUCCUAUUUUACUCUAAAAAUAGAAUAAUAAGAAAGAGUAAGCUUUCAAUGUCUAAUAUUUCAAAUAAAAAAGAGAAAAAAAUUAAUAUUUUUUUUGAUGAUUUUUAUAUUAUGCUUUUGUACAAAUCCAAAUUCUAUUAAUCAUGGUAUUUAGUAUUUUAAUAAUAAAUGCGAUAAAAUUGUAAGUUUCCUAAUAUUUUCCCUCUAUAUCACCUUCCAAUUUUAUUUGUAAUAAUAAUUAUUAAAAAUAAUAUUAAAUAGCUUACUUAAAGUUGUGUGUUUUCCUAGAAAAAUGACAAUGUAGAAAAUAAGAGCUUUGGGGGCUAGGGUUUCUACUAGAUAGAAAGCUUUUAUCUUUUUUUUUUUCCAAUAACAUUUUUUAGAUUAAUCAUUCCCAAUUAUAUUACUAUUAUAAAAUAUCUUCUAAAAGAAUUUUAGAAUAUUCCCAUAACAUAAUUUUUUGAAAUAUCUUAAUGGGAGUUUUAAUAAAAAUGAAUAUUUAAUUUAUUCAUAAGUAGGAGUAACUUAUUAAAUAUUCAUAAAUUACAAACUAUAAAACUUUUCUUAUACAAUAAAUCAUUAAUUGACAUAAAAUUUACACAACUUUAAAAUAAUUCUUUUGUAUCUUAAACAUUAAUCAACGCCAUAAAUGAAAUCACUAAGAAACAAUGAUCCGAGCAUGUGAAAAUAUUGGAACAUGUAGAUACCAAACCGUUGAGAACCUUGGAUUACUUAGUUCCCUUACCCUGAACCUCAUAGGGUACAUGUUACUAUACCUAGGGCUCUCUAGAUCUAACGCAACAAAAAAACAAUGAUUUCAAAACCAAUAAUUAACAUAGAUCUAGAGAUUAAGUGUUCAAACUUGCAAUUUGGAUGUUCCUAGACCGAAUCUCAUCCAAUGAAGAUGUUAAAAACCAUAGUAGUCAUCGUAGAACUCAUUUACCCAAGAGUCUUCCACCUAAUCUCUCCUUUAACGGGUCUAGGUGCUAGAGAAUAUUGGGUUUCUCUGUCACCCAUGAGGAUGACUCUUUGGAAGACAGACAAAAAAAUUCUAAACCCUAAACCUCUAAGGAGGUUUAUAUAGGGCUCUUUGUGGGCUUAAGUGCUUUAAACCCAAAUUGUGUUUGGGUUACCUAAUCCAGCUCACCUAGGUCCUAAUUAAUUAAUUAGCCUUUUUGGGCUUCAAUGAAUUAAUUAGUUUAAUUAAAAAAAUUCAUAAUAAUUAAUCAUAAAAUACUGUGCAAUCUUCGAAUCAUUAUCAUGUUUGUAUUAUUUAGGAAGAUAGUGAUUCGAAGGCAUCCUUCUCAUUUUCCUCAAAUUCAAUUAUCCCUAUUACUAAGCGGGGGUCAUGUACCACCCUUAAUCUAGAGUCAUUGGUCUUAUACAUGAUAGGCAUUACAAAUGGCACAACAAGAAGCUAGGUCUAAUCAAAAUCACCAUAGACCUUGAUUAAAGGUCACUAUCGCUUAGAGGCUUAUUCUACAUCUAACCCUUUCUUAGUUGACUCAAAGGUCUAUUAAGAGGCCUCCUCGACGAUUAGUAUGAAGGAAGUUAUCUGUUGAGAGAAAACCUAAUGAGAGGCUUAGGGAGGACUAUGUAUGGCAAGGGUUUAGUCAUGAGUUCACAUAUGAUAUCAAGAUUUUCCAUUUUUUCGAGCUCACUUUUGGAUUUGUGAAGCUUCUAAAGAGGUAUCAUUUUACAAUACUGAUGUUGCCACCAUUUAAUAUAUAUAGAACCAAUGUUUCUAAGUUAUUCACAACACUUGAGAAUAGGUUAGGAAACUUAGGUAUGCUUCAUUUUUCUAUUGGAGGAUGCAAGGAUGUCAUCUUUGUCCGGACGAUUGCUAAGGCUUUUGGCUUUCCCCUAAUCAAGCCUCUAGACUCUCAUUUUAUACCCUGAUUUGUACCUUCAUUUAUGACAAUAGCCAAUUGACUUACACCACAAUGCAUUUGGUGCAAGUUAGUAGUGAGCAAACUUCAAUGCCUUAGUUCUUUGGUUCAUUGAUCAAGACUAAUUUUUUUUUUUUUUUUUACAAUGGGUUGUAUAAUUGAGAGGACAAGUGAUGUAUUUUAAGGCCUCUAUCAAAUUUACAUGGGUGAGUAGUAGAGUCCACAAACAAUAUUAUAGUCGUAAUAGUAUACUUUUAUGAUGAAGUCAAGGUUAAAAACUUAUGCUCAACUUUGAAAUAUCCAAUCCUACUGCCUAGGUUGAUAUUAGAGUACUUGAUCAAGUGAGAUUCCAAUUGACCAAUUAAGAUAUAUUUCCUUUAGAUAACACUUAUGCUAUGUAAUAGGGGACCUCACAUAUUUACCAUGAGCCACAACAAAACAAAAUCUAGUCGUAACUUCUAAGAGAGAAAUAAUAAAAUGACAUACUUUCACGGGUAUGAAGUUGAGGCUUGGACACAUGGAAGGAUGAAUAGAUAAGUUGACUUAUAUCAUGUAGCAAUUAAGCUCCACUAGUGAUAUUCCUUGACAUUCAAAUGAUUCUACAUAAUAUGCACAUUACACUAACUUUAUUGAUUAUGAGUGUACUGAGGUAGACAAGCAAGUUAGGGGUAAAGGGGCAAGGGGGCAAGAAGUUUAGGGGUUUUCUAUGCUUCUUGUGAAAACAUGAGUCGAUACCUAUAUCAGUGAUGACUCACUUGUUAUAGUUGAUUGUGUUGAUAAUGUAACACCAUUCUUGACAAGAUUGCAUUUGAGAAUGUCUCUAAGGUUGAUGAUUGAUAUGUAACUACCAUCAUGACAUAUGUUUAUGUGGUUAUAUAUUUUAGGCGCUAGUCACCAUACUCUCUAACACUACUCAUUUUGUAUUUUUCUUAUCUCUCUCAUCUACAUAUACUUUUGCUAAUGAUCUUAGUUUUGUGCAUAUCUAGUUCUUUGAUACACAAGUUAAAGUUGAUGAUCUACGAGGUAAAAAUGAUUUCACCUUACCUUUUCACUUCUUGUUGUUUUUAUUGAGGACAAUGAGUAAUUUAGGUUAAGAAGGAAAGACAUUGAUGUCCUAUUUUCAUUUCUUUUUCUUUUUUUUUUUUUCAAAAUUUUGUAUGUUAUCUUGGUUAGUUAAUAAAUUCAUGAUUAGUCAUGGUGACUCUUUUUAUUCUUCUACAUGAGAUUUUUUUAAGUAGGAUAUUUACUUUAAAACUUGAGAAAAGAAUGAGUUAGAUAAGAAUACUAGUUGAUAUCUAAAGAUAUUUUAGAUUUUUCUUUGAUGGUUAUUUUCUGCUCACAAUUCAAAAUAUGCAUUAAGCAUGGUGCAUCCUUAUGGCAACCUAAUUGAGACUAUAUUUCUUUAAUUUAAAAAGGUUUGCUCUCAAGUGAAAAGAGGGAGAAACACUUAAAAAAGGAAAAAAUAAUCCUUAGAAAAAUAUGAAGAAAUUUGAGAAUACAUGAAUAAUGUAAGCUUGAUCAACUAUUCAAUGGGAUAAUGACCUUAUGCCUUCCUUGGUUCCCCCAAUUAACUGGUUAGGAUUCACAAAUGCCUCACUUGUUAUAUAAGAUGAAUAUCACAUUUGACAUAAUUAUGCACUUAGAAAACUUGACUUUGUUCUAAUUUCAACUAGCAUGAUAACCGAGGAGUAAGUAAUUGGUAAAGAUCCUCAACACUUGAUAUCUUGGGUGAGUACUUGGGAAUUACUAGUAGAUCCUCACUAAGCCAUAUAAAAGAAGAUUUCCUUGGGAAAAAGACAAAAGAAAAAGAGUCUUAACAUAAGUGUUUCUUUUUGUUUUGAGUAGUGGAAGAAUCGGUUUUAGGUUAAAGGUGAAAGUCUUAAGAGGCAUACUAUGAGGGACCACCAAAGGCAAACACAUGAGGCUUAGGUGAAAAGAACUAGCUAAAGUAAUUCCGAGCGACACUAUGAGAGACAAUAAACAUGGAUAUAUACCUAUGUCUAAAGAGGAUAAGUUGAGAAGGCUAGGAGAUUACUUGACUUAUGUCAUAUUUCUUAAUUAUAAGAAAAUUCAUCACUUAAGUAGUUGAUGUGAAUAACAUUAUAUCGAGCCAUUAUGCAAACAUGAUUUGCAUUACACUUGAGUUUUAUUUAUUUAUUUUUAUUUUCUAGGAAAUAAAAAACUUCAAAUUAAUUAGGAUAAUUAGAGCCUAAAGAGGCGCUCUGUUGGCACAUAAAUAACAUUAAUUAGAUGAUUCUAAAGACUUAAACCAUCUAACUUUAUAGGAAUUGGUGUUAGCACCCUAGCUAUGGAUUUAACAUUUAUUUUGAGCUUAAUUCUAGGAAAAGUAAUAGAAAGAAUAAAAAAUGAAUGAGAACUUAUCAAUAAAGGUAGAGAAAUGGAUCAAACAACCAUAAAAGAAAGGCUUCAAGCUUCUUGAAGAUAAGAAAAAUUAGAGCAAAAACAUGAGGAUCAUGACAUGAGCAUGAGAGAUAUAUGAGUAAUGAAAGCCAUGGAGAGAAUUGAGAUAGAAAACAACCAUAUUAGAGGCUAUUCAGAGCCAAAGCUAAGGAAGGAAUGAAGAAAAUGGACAAGGCAAACUCAAGGAAGUUAGAGGACUCAAGUUAGAAGCUAAAUUUGAAGUUUUGACAAAUGAAGUUCAAACUCAAAAGAAUAAGGAAAGCACCCACUAGAAGCUCAAUUCUAAAUUCCCUUUAGAAUUUGAAUUAGAGCAAAGCAAGGAGAAGACACUAGAAACUUAAUUUUAAAUCCUCUUGGAUUUUGAGUUGAUAUCAAACUAGUGGAAAAGAGCGAGUUGUAGACACAAGUUUAGUUUGCAAUUACUCAUGGAAUUCAAACUUUAACUAGCCUUGUACACUUUCAAAUUAGCCAUUUUCAAUUUGAAUUAGACUUUUAGAGUUCGAGCAAAGCUUCUCUAGGCCACUCUAAUUCGGUUUUAGACACCAUAAGAGUCUACCUAGUUCAAAAUGAGUUUUAUUUACUCAAUAUUUGCAUGUUUGAUAUAUUUUUGAGACAAUAAUAUUUAUUUUUGGAUAUUAUUGACCAAUAAGGCUAUACCAUGUGUCUUAACAUUGAUUUUACUAUAUAAGUGUUAGGGCGAAUUCACAAUAUUCCAACAAACACCAGGAUUUUUCUACCAUUUCUUUGUGCGAAAUUAAUUAUGUAAUAGCAACUAGCAGGAAUAAAUAAAUAAACUCAUGCAAUGGAAAAAUAAAUCAGACACCAAAAUUUUUACAUGGAAAACCCUCCAAUACGAAGGAAAAAACCAUAGGACCUAAUCCAGUUCAAACUUCCACUAUCAACAAUAAUGGGUUACACUUGUCUUCUCUAGAAUAAUCUCUAAAGGCUACCAAAUACAUCAAGAGCACAUAUAGCCUUGGAUUAUAUAAUCUCUCUUGGCAAAAAACAAAGAAAAUUGGAGAAAGAAUACCCCAAAAACAUGACAUUACUGUUCACAGGCAGUAACACCAGUUCCUGAGCUCAAAAUCUAAUCUCCAUCGUUCAGAUUGUAGCUACUCGAGUUUCAAACCUCUCUUCAAAAUUUCAAUUCGAUCGGACCACAGAUGAAGCGGGAUCGACUCUUUGAUGAAAUUUGGGCAAUGAAAUGUGUUUUUCCUUUUUCUUUUUUCUUCUCUCUGAUUUUCAUUUUUUCCCAAUCUCCAUCUAUUUUUGUUUUUUUGUUUUUUAUUAUAACUGACUUGGGCCCCAAGAAUAUGGGGCCCACUCCCUUACAUAUGAGGGAACCCAACAAAUCUCUCAUUCCCAACUAUGUGAGGGGCUCUACCAAGCCCGCUUGCUUUCUACAAACUUGUAGAUUCUCUGUAGGUAUUGGUUUUGUCAUCAUAUCUGAUCCAUUCUCAUUAGUAUGGAUUUUCUCAACGCAAAACAAUUUAAUCUCUAGUGCAUCACGAAUCCAAUGAUAUCUCACAUCAAUAUGCUUUGAUCUAGAGUGAAAAGUUGGAUUCUUACUGAGAUGAAUAGUACUCUGACUAUCACAGUAGAGUAGAUACAUUUCUUGUUGUAGACCCAAUUCUUGUAGAAACUUCUUCAUCCAUAGUAACUCCUUGCUAGUUUCAGUGAUAGCAAUAUACUCGGCCUCUAUGUUCGACAAAGCAACACAUUUUUACAACCUUGAUUGUCAUGACACUAAUCCCCCUUAAAAAGUGAUCACAUAACCAGAAGUGCACUUUUUGAAAUCAAUAUCCCCAGCCAUAACUGCACUUGUGCAUCCUAUAAGCACAAGUUUGUUAGUCCCAAAACAUAAACAUGUCUUAGAAGUACCCCUCAGAUACUUGAGAAUCCAUUUCACUGCGGCCCAGUGUUCUUUGCUAGGAUUAGAAAGGAACCUGAUGACAACUCCAACAACAUGAGCAAUAUCAGGCCUCGUGCACACCAUGACAUACAUCAAGCUACCCACGGUUGAUGCAUAGGACACCUUUUGCAUUUUUUUUCUUCUUUCUUACUUGAAGGACUUUGUUUGGAACUUAGCUUUAGAUGACUUCCAAGUGGAGAACUCACUGGUUUUGCUUUGCCCAUGUUGAACUUGUCUAAAACCUUCUCAAUAUAACUUUCUUGAGAUAGCCACAAUUUUUCAUUCGUCCUAUCUCGAGAAAUCUUUAUAUCAAGAAUUUGACUUGUAGGCCCCAAGUCCUUCAUUUCAAAGGACUUGCUCAACUCCUUUUUCAGUUUAUCAAUUUUACCAAUAUCUCAACCAACAAUCAGCAUGUCAUCCACAUAUAGUAAGAGAAUAAUAAAUUCUCCAUCAGAGAAUUUCUUCACAAACACACAAUGGUCAGAAGCAGUUCUAUCAUACCCAUGCUUAACCAUGAAGGAAUCAAACUUCUUGUACCACUGUCUCGGUGCCUGCUUGAGACCAAACAAGUUCUUCUUCAGUUGACACACUAAGUGUUCCUUGCUUUUGAUUGUAAACCCUUCUGGUUGCUCCAUAUAUAUUUCCUCUAAGUCACCAUGGAGGAAAACAGUCUUCACAUCAAGUUGUUCAAUCUCUAGAUUCAUACUAGCAGCCAAACCUAACACAACUUCAAUCAAAGACAUCUUAACCACAGGUGAGAAAAUCUCUUCAAAGUCAAUGUCUUUCUUCUAACUAAAACCUUUCACAACCAAUUUGUACCUUGGCUAUGAUUUGUUUGGUUAAGGCUUCCUUUUCAGUACCCAUUUAUUUUUCAAUGCUCUCUUACCCUUAGACAACUCCAUCAAUUCAUAAGUGUUGUUCUUAUGCAAGAAUUUCAUCUUUUCAUGCAUAGGUCUCAACCACUUUUUUUUCUCAUCAUGCAGCAGAACCUCUUGAUAAUUUUCUGACUCUCCUCCAUCAGAAAGUAUCAAAUACUCAUCACUAGUAUACCUUUUGGAAGGUUAACACUCUCUAGUAGAUCUUCUUAACUAUGUGUAAGUAGGCAAAUCUGAAGUAGCUUGUUCUUACUGCUGUUCUAGGCCAUCAUUCUCAAUUGUAUGAUUUUCUUCUACAUCAUCAACUACAGACUCAUCAUUUCUGUCAAUUGUAUCAACCUGUUUUUCUUGCAUAACUUCCCUAUGUUCAUUAUGUCCCAUAGAGUUAGGAGAGACUAAACCUAAAUCAACUUGUUCUUCACUAAAAGGCUUUGGCUUCUUAACCUGAUCUAAGUCUUCAAUGGUUUGAUCUUCAAAGAAGACAACAUCUUUGCUUCUUAUAAUUUUUUGGUAGUUGAAUCCCAUAACCUGUACCAAAACUCUUCAUUUGAAUAACCUAAGAAGAUACACGGUUUAGUCUUGUUGUCAAGCUUGGACCGCUCAUCUCUAGGAACAUGAACAAAUGUCCUGCAACCAAACACUCUCAAGUGCUCAAAGGAAACACAUUUUCCUGUCCAAACUCUCUCUAGAAUAUCACCCUCUAAAGGAUAUGAUGAAGACAGAUUAAUCAAAUCAACAGUUUUCAUCUUGGCCUCACCCCAAAAAGACUUAGGCAAUUUUGCAUGAGAGAGCAUACACCUGAUUCUAUCACAGAUGGUUCUAUUCAUUCUCUCAGCUACACUAUGGGAUCUUAGGAACCGUCUUCUCAAGCUUGAUGUCAUGACUUCUGCAGUAUUGCUCAAAUGGCCCCUUAUAUUCACCACCAUUGUCUACUCUAACAGAUUUUAACUACUUACCAGUUUGCCUCUCAACCUUUACAUGAAAAUAUUUGAAUACAUCAAGUACCCGGUCUUUGGAUUUCAAAGCAUAUGCCCACACCUUUCUUAAAUGAUCAUCAAUAAAAGUCACAUAAUAAAGUGUACCACCAAGAGUAUUACUUUGCAUAGUACAAACAUCAGUGUGAACUAAAUCAAGAAUAUCUAGUUUUCUACAUGAAGGAAAUCUACAAAAUGUAACUCUACUUUGCUUUCCAUACAAACAAUGUGUACAAGGUAAUAGUGACAUACCUUUAACUCGUAGAAGCUUCUUUUUGGCAAGAACCUGAAAUCCCUUUUCAUUCAUGUGACCAAGCCGCUUAUGCCACAGCUCAGUAGAGGCUUCAUUCUCAACAAUGUUCACCUCUCCCGUGACUAGUCUCGCUUCUGUCUUGUAGAGGGUAUUGUUUUUCUUCCCCCUAGCUAAAAUAAGAGAACCCUUAGUAAGCUUCCACUUACCCUCUCCAAGGUGACUGGUAGUCCUCAUCAUCAAGCUUCCCAAUAGAGAUCAAAUUAAAGUGCAUUUUAGGAACAUGUCUAAUAUAUUUCAGAACCAAUUUGCACCUAAUGCUAGUUUCUAGCUCUAAAUCUCCCAUGCCAACAAUUUCACAUAUUGCUUCAUUACCCAUCCUAACCCAACCAAAACCACCACUAGUAUAGGAAGAGAAUAAAUCUCUAUGUGCAAUGAUAUGAAACGACGUUAUUGUAUAAACCACCCAAGUUGAAUCCUGGCAUGCAAGGUUUACACACGCAUCAUCACAAACAAUGAUCAUAUCACCAUCAGAUGAACUAUUGCAAUGUUUGUCCUUUUUUUGUUCUUCAUCUUUUCUUUUAAACUGUUUUUUUUUUCUGAAUUUUCUACACUCUCUCUUAAUAUGCCCUGACUUGUCACAAUAAAAACACUUUAUCUCUUUUCGGGACUUUGACUUUCCCCUUGACUUGUCACAAUUAUAAUCAUUGGAAGGUUUUCUGCUUUUACUUCUCACCCGCCUCUCUAUAACAAGUGCUUCUAUAUUAGAGGAAAUACCUAACUCUUUUCUUCUUGCCUCUUCAUUAAACAUGUUGUCUUUUACCAUGUUGACAAUUAUCACACCAUUUGGGGUUAAAUUACUCAAAGAUACCACCAAAGUUUCCCAACUAUCUGGUAAAGAACUCAACAAAAGUAAAACUUGUACCUCAUCAUCUAGCUCAAGUUUCAUGGUAGACAACUCAUUCAAUAGUCCCUGAAAAUUACUGAGAUGUUUUGCAACACUAUUACCAUCCUUGUACUUUAAUUCACAAGCCUCUUUAUCAUAAAAACUUUGUUCUGUGCAGUCUUUCUCUCAUAAAGACUCUCUAAUUUCUGCCAAAGGCUAUAUGCAUCAACUUCGUUGGCUACAUGAUGGAAGACACUCUGAUCAACCCAUUGCCUAAUCUAUCUAAUGGUUUUCCUAUUUAAUUUCUUCCAGUCAUCCUCAGUUGUAGUAACUGGCUUAUAACCCCUACAUUCAAUGGGCUCAAACAACUCUUUGCAAUAUAAAAUAUCCUCCAUCCUAGCCUUCCAAAUUAAAUAAUUGGAAAUUGUGAGUUUAAUCAUUCCACUACUAGCCUCCUCCAUUUAAUUCACAGAAGAGAUCCCACUGCUAAUCAACUUGUCUUUAAUACCACUUGUUAGGGUGAAUUUACAAUAUUCCAACAAACACCAGGAUUUUUCUACCAUUUCUUUGUGAGAAAUUAAAUAGGUAAUAACAACUAGCAAUAAUAAAUAAAUAAACCCAUGCAACGGAAAAAUAAAUCUGACACCAAAAUUUUUACGUGGAAAACCCCUCAACGUGAAGGGAAAAACCAUAGGACCUAGUCCAGUUCAAACUUUCACUAUCAACAAUAAUGGGUUAGACCUGUCUUAUCUAGAAUAAUCUCUAAAGGCUACCAAAUACAUCAAGAGCACAUAUAGCCUUGGAUUAUAUAAUCUCUCUUGGAAAAAAGCAAAGAAAAUUGGAGAAAGAAUACCCAAAAACACGUUGUUACUGUUCACGGGCAGUAACACCAGUUCUCGAGCUCAAAAUCUGAUAUUCACCGUUCAUAUUAUAGCUACUUAAGUUUCGAACCUCUCAUCCAAAUUUCAACUCGAUCGGACCACAGAUGAAGUGGAAUCGGCUCCUUGAUGAAAUCUGGGCAGUGAGACGUGUUUUUCCUUUCGCUAUUCUCUUCUCUCUAUGUUUCAUUUUUUCCCAAUCUCCUUCUGUUUUUGUUUUUUUGUUUUUUUAUUUUUUUUAUUGUAACUGACUUGGGCCCUAAGAAUAUGGGGCCCACUCCCUCACAUACGAGGGAACCCUACAAUAAGUUCUUUUAGCUUUAGGUUUCAAGAUGUUAGAGGUAGAAGUAAGGAGAGACUGAACCCUUGUAUUUUCACUUUUUUUUCAAUAAAGUUUUAGGUCUUCCUUACUAUUUGAUUUUCUUAGAAACCAAACAUAGGUUGUGAGAAGAGAUACUCCACCAUAUUUGACUAGUUUUAAGUGAUCUAGAGAAUGAAGCAUAAAGGUGAAGAUUCCAAAGGAAAAGUAGUAAUAGCACGGUAAACUUUUAAAUGAUUUAUUCUUGCUUUUUAGUUUGAAUUAGUAGGAAUAAAUCAUUCGUAUUAGUUAGUCUUAGAUAAGGUACAAAGGAUUCUUAUCGAAGUACUAGUGAUUCUUGAGAAAGCCUUAAUUAUUAACUUGUUUAAUUUUAUUGUUAACGAAUCUAAUGGUUAAAUUUACAAGAUGGAUAUGAGUUGUGAGUGUUUAAAAUUGAAAACUAAAUUAACUAUCAUAUUUAAUUGGUUUAAGAGAUCUAUUUUUUGAACUUAAAAACCUAGUUUUGGAUGUGAAUCGGUCUUAAAACUCAAAUUCAAUCUCACAUUGACUUCGAUCCUAAACCCUAGAUUAUUUAAUCUUCUCUCUCGUGCCUUUAGUAGUCCUUAAGCCUUGACCUAGUUAGUUGGGCCUUAAGUCUUGACCUAGAUACUCGAGUUUUGAACCUUCACUUCAAAAACAUCUACUAAGGGCUUAAAUAGUUUGACCUUGGAUCAAAUUAAACUUUUUGCAUGCAAAUCUAGAUCUUGAAGCUUGAAACUUUAAACCUUGAAGACUUGAUUAUGCAAAAAUACUUUUAAUCCUUGAAGACCAACAAAAUCUUAAAGCUCUUUAAGGAUAUUUGAGAAAAGAGCUUGAAUACUUAGGCCUUGACACUUGAUUUGGAUAAUUAGGCCUUAGGUCUUGGCUUGGACACUUAGGCCUUCAAUGUUGAUUUGAAGGGUUAGGCUUGAAGUCCUAACUUGGAUACUUGGGUCUUGAGUCUUGACUUGGAAUAUGAACUUAAAUUCUUAACCUAUAUUUAUUUUUCAGAAAAUGUGAAGGAAAAUGCAAGAGAAAGAAGAUAAAAAAGGAAAAAUAAGAGGACAAUAAAAAUAAAUUUAAAGUUAAUAAAUUAUUUUUGUAUAUUUAUUCAAACUCAUUUCACUUUUUUUUUCUUUUGUGUAAGAUUAAAAAAUUGAAAAGGCAUAAAAUUUUAAUUAUGUUUUAUUUUCUUUCAUAUUUUUCCUUAUAAACCAAACAUGAAACUUUUUAUUUCCCUUUCCUUAGUAUAUUUUGAGAACCAAAUAUAGGCUUAGGGUCUUAAACAUUGAUUUAGAGAAUACCAAUUGAACUCUUUGAUGAAUUAAUCUCAAAUUGAAUGAAUUUGUUUUUAGAAACGUAAAUUUUAAAGCUUGAAAUUUGAAAUUUUGAAAAACUUAAUUAUUUAAAGACAUUUUGAAGCCUUGAAAACUACGAAGAGAUAUUGAAAUUGUAAGGACCUUAAAGAAGUAUUGAAAAAUUUUCAAAUUUUCUUUGAAGAAAUCUUAAGGAUGUUUAAGGUUACGUUUGCCUUUUACAAAUUAUUUAAGGAAAGGCAAAAAAUGUUAGGAAAAAUGAUUUUAUUAUAUUUGAUUUACCAUAGAAAAUACAAUUAAAUUACUAAAAACUUAUGUAUUUUCAAAUCAUUUAAUAUUUACAUAAAAGAAGAAAAAUAAGUAAAAUGAGUUUCAACGACUAUAUCAAUAUAAUUUAUUGACUUUAAAUCUAUUUUUAUUUUUAUUGUAUUUUCCUUCAACUUUUUUCAAUAACCAAACAUAGGUUAAAAGAACUUUAAUAUCUCGUAAAUGAACUUCUAAACACAAUUUAUACAUAUUCAUGUAAUUUGAACGCAUUUAAGGAUAUAAAAUAAAUUAUAAUAUAUUUAUAUUUUUUAAGUAAUUUAUAAAUUAUAUUUUUCCUAUAUUUAAUUAAUAUAUAAAAGAUAUAAAAAAAUACUCAUUAAAAAAUUAAGAUUUUUUUUUUAUAUUUUUAACAAUAACUUAAAUAUAAUUUGAAUAUAAUAUAAUUUGAAUAUAAUAUCAUUAAAAUUAAUUAAUUUAUUAAAGUUUUAUUUUAGUAUUUGAUAUGAAUUUGUUAAAAAGUUUAUUUAUUUAUUUAUUUAAUGAAAAUAAAAUGAAAAAAUAUAUAUAAAUCGAAAUUAUUGGUAAUUUAUCAUAAAAACAAACCCAAUAUAUGGGGGGAAAAUAUGGGAAAGUUAGAUAUAUUUCCACCAACAUAGAAGCUAUCAUUUAAAAAAAAAUUAAAAAAAAUUAAGAAUAUUGUUGAAUUUAUUUUAAUAGUCAAGAUAAAACGAUAUAUAUUAUUAAUAAUAUUGAGAAAAAUAUUCUUAUGAAAUAUGCCUAUGAUUCAAAAUUCAAGAAAUAAGGGACGUUAAGUAUAUGAGAAUUUGGAAUGAAAAUGAAUAUGUUGUUUCCAUUCUUAUUUUCUGGUGAAUGAAAAUAAAUUUACUGAUUUCAUUUCUAGUGUUUGGAUGAACCUAGGAAUUUAAUAUUGAAAUGAUUAUUAGUUUUUAUUCUAAUAUUUGGUAAUAAUACGAAUGAUAAUGAAAAAAAUAAAUUGAUAAUAAUAUCUUUACCUAUAGUUUAAAAUAAUUUUUUAUUUUUAUUUUAAAAAAAAUAAAAUUUAAGAGUUUUUUUUUUGUUACUAAAUAAUAAAACUAAAAAAAAUAGUCUUAUUAUGUGAUAAAUCAUGGGUUAAUGAAUGAAAUUUAAGGGUAAAAUAGUAAUUUUUUUAACUAUUUUAUAUUUUCUUAUGAGAUGAAUAAAUCAAAAUUCCAUUUACUUAUUCUAAAUUCAAAUCACACUUAUAAGUAGGAUUUGAUUUAUACUUGAAUCAUUUUUUUUUCAUUGGUACCUUCGUAAAAUUUAUCCAAACAUGAGAAUGAGGAAGAAAAAGAAUGAAAGGUUUAUUCUCACUCCUCAUUUUCACGUACCAAACACUCCCUAAAAAAAAUAUAAAGAAAAAAUAAAAUGGAAAAAAAAAUAAAAAUAAUAAAAAUAAAAUUUAAAAAUGAUAUUUUUAUAUACUUUUUAAAUUCAUUUGAUUUAUUUUUAGUUUAAAGAUCGAAUAAUUUAAAAUUUUAUAAUUUUUAACUAGUUUUUAUUAUUUUUAAAUGUUUUUUGAUUUAAAAAUUAUUUAUCUUAAAAUUCUUUUUUUUCCUUUGAUAUUUUUCUAAAACCAAUUGUUAAAUAGUCUUUUAAAACACCAUAAUACAUUUCAAAAUGAUUAAGAAAAGAUAAAAAAUGAUUUUAAUCCUUGAAAACUCUGUGAAAAUUCAAAAAUUACUUUGAAAAAAUAUGGAGAAUCAUUUCAAGUGAUUAUUAGAUAUUACUUGGUAUAACUUUCUAUUUUUAUUUUAAUUAGAAAAUGAAAUGGGAUGAUAUAAAAUUUUAUUAAAUAUGAAAUAAUUUCUUUUAUAGGUGGGGAUUGAGCUUUUAUAAGAAACAAUAUUUUGGUCCGAAUAUUAAAAUUCUUUUUUUAGUGCAUAAUAUUUUUUUUUGAAUAAAAUUAGGAAAAUAAGUAUAAAAACUUUAUUGAGCUUAAAAAGAAAGAUUUUAACUUUUCAAACGAGGAUGGGGCCAUUACUUUAAAAUUGAUAUUAUUUAAUAUAUUAAAAAAAUACUAUAAAAAUUAGAGUUUUUUUUUUCAUUUAAAUAUUAAUUAUUAUUAACAAUUAUUUUUAAUGAAGUGGCAAUGAUAGAAGUGAUAAAACUAAAAAUAUAGAAUGAUUUAGAAUCACAUAAAAAUUGGAAAAUGUUUUGAAAUGUUAGAAAAUUUAAUAAUCUUUUUUAAAAAUAUUGAAAAAGGAAAAAUAAAAUAAUAAUGGCUGCUGACCGAAAAUAGCAGCACACAUGUCAACUCUUCACAUAGCCUGCUCAACACUUCUCAGUCUCUUGUCAUGCAGACACACAGGUGGAGGUGCAACCCCCAAAGUUUCCAAAACCCACAUGCACAAAACCCUUCUCUUUCUCUUUCUCUUUCUCUGAACACCCACCAAGAAGGAUGGAGGAAGAGGAAGAAGAAGAGUACAGCUUCUUGAUGGCAAAACCACCACCAUGGUUCACAGUCCUCUUGUCCUUCCAAGCAGACUUGAUUCACAACUGCAUCUUUACACUCCUCGCCCCCGUCACCACCCUUUUCUCCAUACUCUCAGAGUCCUACCAAAGAGCAGAGGAGGCCAAAGACAGUGUAAAAUCAGCAGCCAAGAAUGUGCCCUCAAAGGUGGCACAUGGCAGCAGCUUGAUGGUGAGGAAGCUGGCCUGGGGGCUUCUGGGUGCUGCCUAUAUGGGAAUUGUUCUGGUGGCUGUGAUGGUUGUGGCUGUUGUUGUGGGUGUUGGGUUGGUGCAGUUGUGGGUUGAGGAGCCUGUGUUUCUCAGAGAGAGCUUGCAUUUUGACUACACUGAGCCUCACCCAAAGGCUGUGUUCUCUUUUGGUGGCAGCAAGGGCAAAAUGGGGGUUCCAUUAGGGCACACCUUUUAUGUUUCUUUGAGACUUUUGAUGCCUGAAUCUGAUUUCAAUAGAGACGUUGGGGUGUUUCAGGUGAGCUCAUUUGUCAUUACUUUUUUGUGAAUUUCAAUUCUCAUUUGUUGGGUUUUUUUCUGAGACUUUGUGAGAAUGUUGGAUAAAUUUCUUGAAAUAUAGUAUAAUCUGAUAUCAGUAGAGACAUUGGGUGGGUGCUUUAGCUGACCUCAUGACUCUUUUGUGAAUUUCAAGCCUCAUUAGUGGGUUUUCCUGUUACUGUUUGUACCUGUCGAUUUCAAUAAUUUGGGUGAAAAUUUUGAAACUUGUGAAAAUGUUGGCAGAAUUCCAUGAAAUUUCUAAUAUAAUCUUAUUUCAGCAGAGACAUUGUGAAUUUCAAUUCUCAUUUGUUGGGUUUUUUGGGGGUUUUCUUCUACCAUUUAUAGAUUUUGAUUUCAAUAUUAUCUUCGUGAAAAUGCUGUCUAAAUUUCAUGAAAUUUAGUAUAAUCUGAUUUAAGUAGAGACAUUGGGUUGUUUUAGGUGAGUCCAUUACCCUUAAAUUCAUUCCUAUUUUGUGAAUUCUGUCUCAUUCACAGGGUUUUUCUUCCAAUAUUAAUAGAUGCCAAUAGUGAUGUCUGUGAAGAAUAGUAAACUUUGUGAGAAUAUUGGCUAAAUUUCAUGAAAUUUCGUGUAAUCUGACUUCAGUGGAGACAUUGAGGUGUUUUGGGUGAGCCCAUCUCUCCUAACUUCAUGAUUCUAUUUCUUUUUGUGAAUUUGAAUUCUCAUGCAUUGGAUUUUUCUUUGAAUGUUUAUACAUGUCAGUUGUCAUAAUUUGGGUUGAAAAUAUGAAACUUCCCGAAAUGUUGGGUAUGUCUAGAAAUGUUUUGGACGAAAAAUAUGAAACUUUGUCAAGAUUUUGGCUAGAAGUUCAUGAAAUUUUAGUUUCAAGUGAACCAAUUUCUCUGACAUUCAAGAUUUUUUUUUUCCUUGUUUUGAAUAUUGACACUCAUGAAUUGAUUUUUUCUUCUAAUGUUUAUUGAUUUCAAUAGUAAUUUUAGUGAAAAUAUGGAAUCUAGUGAAAAUUUUGGCUAAAUUUCAUGAGAUUUUUUAGAAAUUUAGCUUAAUUUGGUAACAAGAGACAGAUUGGGUGUUUAUGGCUUGCUGGUUAUUUUUUCAAUUCAUGGGCCUUUUUUGUUGAUUCCAACUUUUAGUUAAUAGUUUUCUUUUUUUGGGUCUCCAAACUUGAUUUUAUGGUUGAUAAGCAAAAAAAGAACCAUAGACAAUCAAAAAAGGAAAAAUAGUUCUUGACAUUGUAGACCAACCCAAAAGAAACCACGGGCUUCUACUAGAUGAGAAAUGGGAGGAUCAUAGAAUAUCGGACAGGCCAUGCUGACACAACGUCCUCGUUGUGUCUCAUGAGAUUGUAAGGCCAAACAGACAAACACCCCCUACGAGGCCAAACAAACUCCCACAUUGGGAUCGAGGAUUGACUCUAAUACCAUUUGUAACGACUCGCACACAACCGUGUAAAUAUUGUCCGCUCUAGACCCAAAGGGGCCUUGAUGGCUUUAAAACACGUUUACAAGGUUAAAAAAAGUUCAUACUUAUAUAGCGCAAGAAACUUUCCUCCCUAUUCGAUGUGGGAUGUCACAAACACCCCUCCAUGUAGACACAAUCCUCGUUGUGUCCCAUGGGAUUGCGGGACCAAAUCGACAAACACCCGCUACAGGGCCAAAUAAACUCCCACACCGGGGUUGGGGAUCGAUUCUGAUACUAUUUGUAAUGACCCACUCCCAACCGUGUAGAUAUUGUUUGCUCUGGGCCCAAAGGGGCCCUUACGGUUUUAAAACACGUUUACAUGAUUAAAAGGAGCCUCUAUAUAUAUAGUAUUAGGAGCUUUUUCUCUUAUUCGAUGUGGGAUAUCACAAAUAACACCCCUCCCCAAGAAUGUUGUGUCCCAUGAAAUUGCGGGGCCAAAUAGAUAAAUACUUCCUACGGGGCCAAACAAACCCCCACAUUGGAUUCGGGGAUCGACUCUAAUACCAUUUGUAACGACCUACCUCCAAUCAUGUAGAUAUUGUCCGCUUUGGAUCCAAAGAGACCCUCACAGCUUUAAAACGCGUCUACAAGGUUAAAAGGGGUCCAUACUUAUAUAGCGCUAGAAACUUUCCUCCUUAUCUGAUGUGGGAUUUCACAAACAUCCUCCUAUAUAGACACAACGUCCUCGUUGUGUCCUAUGGGAUUGCGGGGCUAAACAGACAAACACUCCCUACGGAGUCAAACAAAACCCCACACCGGGGUCGGGGAUCAGUUCUUAUACCAUUUGUAACGACUCGCACCCAACAGUGUAUAUAUUGUCCGCUCUAGGCCCGAAGGGGCACUCACAGCUUGUUUCACUCUGUGUCCAAUGAUGAUUAUAAUUGGACACAUCUUACUUUUACAAGCCAAAACAAAUAGGUGAAUCUGGUACAGUUGCAGAUCAGUGUGAGGCUUAUAGAAAACGCUAUUGUGCUGUAGGAAAUGAAAUUAGCUAGAGAAAAAAUAUCUAGCAUUUAUUCUAUUAGAAUUUUAGAAACUAUAUUCCAAACCUUUCACAUUGAUUUGUGGAACAAUCAUAUGAACUAUGUUCUAUAUGGGUGUCUUGUCUUCUUCUAUCCUCUUGUUUUACUUGUGCAACUGGGCUAUGGAAGCCCCCACCACCAUGUUUCUGCUACAUGUUUAUCAGUGGCUAAGUACCUAUAAACUGUAGUUUUAUGUUUUAAUAUACAAGGUGUUUCACAUAUAUGUAACUUGUCUACAAAAAUUCAACUUUGAGCAAAGAGGUAGAUAAGAUUCUUUAGUAGAUGAAGAGAAAAUUGUUAGGGUUUCCCGCUGCUUCGUCUUUCUCAUUAAUGAUGGUUUCAGUGUUUAAAUUCUUAGUCUUGUUAUUCUGUACAGUUGCUCAAACUAUUUUUGAAUUUGUCACAACAUUCACGUUAUAUCAACAAAGAAAUCACAUUUUUCAAAGAGAGCUAUGGUGCUAUCUGAUGUUUUAAAUUUAGGUGAGGUAUGGCCGGAAAAUUUGGCUUACUUCCUGGAAAAAUCUGUUAGCUAAGCAUACAUUCCCUACCAGCUUAGGUUUUUGGACUAAUUGGUAGUUCAACAUGUUACCCAGCUCCUUCCAAAACUUUUAUUUUAAAAAAUUAUUAUAAUUUUUUUUCCUUUUAUAAUGGUGAUUAAUCAAAUUUUUUUGAAAAACCAUGGUAGUCUUUUGAUAUUUGUAUGAUCAUCUAAUAAACGAACAUUCUAUACCAAGUGUUGCCUUACAUGCCUUCAGCUGGUGUGGAUGUAGUUUCACUAGGAUUUCUUUUUAUUUCAAACUAUUUUAGUGAGAUUCUUAAUUUUCUUCCUCUGUGAUUUUCUGAUUUAAUUGUGAACUAUUUCCUAUUUUGUGAUUUCAGUUCUGUCGAUAGUUCCUGCACAAUUUUGUUAUUAUUAUUAUUAUUAUUUAUAUCUUUUUUUCAGGGAGUGGAUUAGGGUGGGGUUGGGUUGGGUUGGUUACCAACAGAGCUGAUAUUUAUCUGAAUGCAUGAUUACAUAUGUGUCUAUUAAUUGAGAAAAAUUAGCUAAAUAUGAACUUUGCUAAUUAUGUAUAGCAUUUUUCAUGAGUUGUAAUAUCAGUUGACUGCAGAAGUCAUGUCGAUCAAUGGGGAUGUGAUAGCAAAAUCGAGCCAUCCAUGCAUGUUGCGCUUUAGAAGCCUCCCAGUUCAACUCACGCGAACUUUUCUCAUGGGGGUUCCACUAUUGCUAGGAAUUUCAAGUGAAACACAGGAGCUAACCAUUGAAAUAUUAAAGCACAAGGAAGGGUAUUCAAGAACCAAAGCCAUCAGAGUAACUUUGAUUCCAAGGGCUGGAACUUUAUCUCUCCCUCAGAUUUAUGAAGCUGAACUCCUCAUGAACUCCCAACUCCCUUGGAAGAAAAAACUGGUGCAUAGUUGGAAAUGGACAUUCUAUGUGUGGAUGUCCUUGUAUGUUUACAUUAUGCUUCUUGUAGUUCUCAUGUGUUGCUUUAGGCCUGUCUUAUUCCCUGUAACAACAGCAAGUCAAAGAGAUCAUAAUGAAAGAGAUUUGACCAUGGAAGUAUCCAAAGAACCAGACUCAAGAGCUAGAGAUGCUAGAGAGGCUUCAGAAUCAUUGAAAAGAUGGCAACGGAGCAGGAACAAGAGAAAGGUAGAUGUUUUGCAGAAGCUCCAACCAGAAACUGUUGGCUCAUCUGCUUCAAGCAUUACUAUAACCAGGGAAGACACAAGUGCGUUUGUUGAAGAGGAUGUUGGGGAUUCAGAAUCAGUGUGUUAGGAUGUUGAGUUGGUAAGUUCAGUUUAGAAUAUGUAUCUUGCCAAUAUGUGUAAUCUUGGUUUUAAUAAAAAGUCUAUAUUCAAAAUUCUUGGCUGUUUUUGCACACUCUGUUUGUUACCAUGCACACUCAGAGCACUCAGAGCAGUCAGUAAGUUUAGUUUUCAUGUAAAAUCGAUCCAACUUGAUCAUUCGAAUCAGAUAUGCCUCCUUAGUUUCAUUGUUGUUAGCUCACAUUUAGUUCGACCUUUGCGAUUAGGGAUAUUAGUUAGGCUGCAAAUGAGUCUGGCACACGACUCAUGAAAGUAUCGUAUAUUCUGUUGUUGGGGCCCCAAAAGCAGACAACUGUAUAGUUAGAAUUAUUAAAAUUUUAAGCCUGCUAGUACUGGGUUGUAAUGAUAUUAAGAUUGUUAUAAUAGGAACAUUGUCAAUUACAGACUUGUUUGGCAUUUUAAAUUCCUUUGAGCAUGCAUAUUGAAAAACUUUGUGCAUUUAUUUUCUCAUUUUGACUUUUAUGGUAAUGUCAUUCUUAUUGAGAAAUUUUUUUCGGGUUUGGGAUCCCAGGUAGAUUCUAGGACUGAUUUGAGUUUUAGAUUUUGGUUUCUUCUAAUCUUUCUGCUUCUCUGUUUUGCCUAUUGCUGCUUGGUAGUGGUUCAAAUUUAGAUUUAAUUCAUUGUUGUGUUUUCAUAAGAGGAGUUAUCUUAACAAUUUAGUCUUAGAAUGUUGUUCUGGAAGAGCAAGACAAAAUGAAGAAAACCAACCUUGAGUCUUGAACUUGAGAUUUCUAGGGAACUAGAGCUCAUAGAAUAUUAAACUAUCAGUUACUUAAGAAGUUCAAGCAUCAUAUAAUGGAAGUCAUACCAUGUUAAUUCUAUGUUCUUGAUCCUUGAACCUACCUAAGGGGAGGGUGAAUAGGUAGUCCAAUUAUUAAGGCCCAAAUUUUUAUUUUUUAUUAUUCUUUUUUAAUCUUUCAGUUAUUCAGGAUCAACUAUUAUUGUUCAGGAGAUUAUGGAAUAAUAAUGGAAUCAAUCACCAAAAUGAGACAUCCACUUAUAGAUCUUCCUUAGGCAUAAAAUCAUGGGUCUCAAUUAACUGCAGAGCAAAUACACUAUUUAUGAAAAACUAGUAUACAGACUUCACAGGUCUGAGAACAUUGUGUUGUUAGCUUGGGUUUUCACUUUCCUACCAAUGUGCUUGGUUUUCUAGCAUAUCUAAUGAACUAGUUAUUGUGAAAAACUGUUAACCAUGUAGAAUAGUAUAGCUAAAUAUGGUAUUUUGCAGGUUUAGGGAUUUGCCUCAGAUUCAUGUUUUUACUUGGGAGCUCGGUACAAGAUUUCUUAUCUAGAAUAAACUCUAUGAGCAAGUUCAAAAUAAAAGGAAUUCUUUGUGCUUUUCUAAUCCAUUUCUAGUCUCUUUUCAAGGAUCAAAGGUGACAAUAGAAGGUGGUUUUUUGUGCUUUUGAAGAUAAGAAGAGAUGGAGCAUUAUCAGUGUGACAUACAUUAUCUGUUCAUCCCUUAACAUUUAGCUUAAGCUUUUAUGCAACUGGCAGUUUAAUAUUGUAUUAAAGAUCUUUUCAUGAGGGUUAAAGGUUGAGUCUCUUUCUCUGUUUAUUACGGCAUUUUUCUAGUGUCCAUUGUGUUAGUGACUGACCUAUGUGAAUUUGUGGAACAUGAUUCAUGGUAUCGAGUACAAACUAUUUGAAACUUUGAAAUUAGUAGGAAUUUGGAGGAAAGAAAGUCCACUGAUCACCUUUGCAUGGAUGAUAAGUUUCCUUUUGUAAUUUUAGUGACAUAUAUUCAUCUAUGAAGUUACAUCAUACAUGGGUCAAAAUUGGAAAUAUUGGACUUAUAGGACCCACACUUCUAUUUGCUUUUUGUUCUUCCUUCUCUCACAAUGCAUCUAAUUGACAAGCGAGAUCAUUUGUUGGAUGUUGAAGCUAAAUUCUUCCUCCACCUGACUUAAUAAGGAUUUGAAUGAAGGAUGGUUUAAACAUGAUAUCCGAAUGACAAAUCUAACUUCUUCUCAACUUCUCCAACUAAACUGAAAAAAUGGCCUUUUGGGAGAUUUGCCCUGGUUGCUGAAGUAUAGUUAAUUGAUUUAGGAAGAAAAGACUUUAGUUUGAGCAACUGAUUGACUUGAAACAUAAAAGGAAAACAAAUACCCAUGGUCAAUGCUGAAAAAUGAUCUCAAGUAGACCUAAUAAGCUUAGUCUAGCACAAGAUAUCCAAGAGGUUGCAUGGUAAGGCUACACUGGAGUUGUUAUCUCCUUCAGUAGGUUCGAUAAAGAUAAACCUUGAUGGAUGUUCUUUGGGUUAUCCGGGAUAAUCAAGUAUAGGAGGUGCAAUAAAAGAUCAUUUGGGUACAAUAUUGAGAGCUUACUCUAAACUUGCUAGAUACCUAAAUGUAAAAGGAGUUUCUGUGGUUCUCUUUGGUGUCCAAUAGGGAAAGAGGCUCAUGGAAACUCAAUAAUUGACUCUGGAAAAUUCUAGAUGUUGAUAGUUAAGUGGGAUGCUUCUUCUAUUGGGUUCCUCACUCAGCUAUCAAGCUGCAGACCAAUUAGCCAAGCAAGGAGCAAAGCACUUGGUUCCUUUUGUUAGAAACUUUUUUUCUGCCCCUAAGUAAUAGAGCUUUUAUAGCGUGGGUACAUUGCUUUGUCCGCUCAUAGUCUAUGUAGAUAGUUGUAGGUUUUGUGAAACAAUGUACGUUUCUGCUUGUUGAUCAACAAUUGUAGAUAUUAGAAGGAUUGUUUGUAUUUCUCAUUUGAUGAAAUGAAUAUAUUGCAUUUCUGAUUGAAAAAAAAGGUGGAACUAAAUACAAGGCUUCUUAAGGGGCAGCUAUGGCAGAGUGAAAUCCUUGUAGCCUACCUCAGAUGGUCCCAUGACUAUCAAUUCUAGAUACAUUUAGACUAAGAUAUGACUUCACAAUCUUAUGUACUCCUAUCCAUAAAUUCUCAUUUCUCAACUUGGUGCUUUGUAGUUAGCUACUAUUCUGAGUGAUCAAUCUGGGUUAGUUUCAAUGUUUCAUAUUUAUCAUAGUGGAGAAAAGAAACUAUAUUGAUCUUUCUAUGGAAGUAAGAUUCUUAUAACUCUGCCCGUUUAUUUACAACAAUGGUAUAAUCUACAUGGGUCAAAAUCAGAGGUAAUGAAGUCAAGUGGUGAACUAUUUUUCUGACUCUUUGCUCUUCCUUCUUAUGAUGCAUUUAGUCGAGAAAUGAGAUCAAUGAAAGAAUUUUUUUUUUUUAUAAGUAAAAGCAAUUGUAUUAAGAAAGCCUGAAGUACACUUGAAAGUAUACACGAUGUAUACAAGACAACAAGGCCAAAAAGAAAAGGAAUAACAGAAAAACCCCUUACUUACAUCCCAACCAAUCAAUGAAAUAAAAAAUGGACCAUGAUGUACAAUCUACACGCACCCUAACCUAAUCUGAAAACAUGUACAAAAAAGACCGUAAAAUAGCUUGAUCCGCUAAUUCGGUAUCUUCAAAGAUUCUUCUAUUUCUCUCCUUCCAUAAAGUCCAAAAUAAACAUAAAGGGGUUGCAUUCCACGCCUUUUUCUUUUCUUUCCAACAAAGGAGUUGUUCCAACCAAGAAUGAUUUCCUUGAUAGAAUUGGGCAUAACCCAUUGAACACCAAAAGAGCAAAAAUAAGGUGCCAAAUCAUAGCUGCCUUGGGACAAUGAAUAAGCACAUGAUUUGUUGAUUCUUCAUCCGCUUUACACAAAUAUCACUUGCUUGGUAAGAUCCAACCCCUCCUUUUUAGUUGAUCCAUAGUUAGAAUUCUUCCCCAAAUAGCCUCCCAAGCAAAAAAACGGACUCUCUUUGGAACCCAAGGAUUCCAAACUAAGCUUGAAGGGAACUCUCUUCCGAUGCAAGGAACUAAGGAUGAGUAGAAAAACUUAACUGUAAAGAAACCUUUAUUUGAAACCCUCCAAGACAUGACAUCCUCAUCAUCGCUUCUAAGCGCUUGACCAUGUAACCUUUUGAAAAAAGCUUCCACCUCUUCCAUUUCCCAAUCAUUGUUAAGUCUUGUGAAUACAGGGUUCCAGUGACCUAAAUCCUCGGAUUGAUCCCACAAUUGAGCUACCCAAGUAUCUCUGGAGGAGGCAAGAGAGUACAAGCUUGGAAAAGCCUAUUCCAAGGAAUCCUCUCCACACCACCUAUUCUUCCAAAACUGCACUCUUCUACCAUCUCCCACCUUAAAAGCCAUCCUUUUGCUAAACUCCAUCCACCUAUUCCUAAUCGCCUUCCAAAGUCCCACUCCAUAACCCUCCCUUGAAGCACCAAAACACCACCCUCCCUCCUUCUCUCCAUAUUUCUCUACAAUCACUUGUUUCCAUAAAGAAUCUUGCUCCAAAGCAAAUCUCCAACACCAUUUUCCUAGAAGAGCCUUAUUCAACCUAGAAAGAUUUUUGAUACCUAAGCACUCAUCCUUUUUCUCCAUACAAAUAAUAGACCAAUUCACCAAAUGCAGCCUACUUUGGGAAGCUCCUCCCCCCCAAAGGAAGUCUCUUUGAAUCUUCUCCAACCUUAGGCUCACCUUGCAAGGAAUGAUAAACAAUCACAUAAAGUAAAUUGGGAGGUUAGAGAGAGUGUUUUUUACCAAAGUCAACCUUCCUCCUUCGAACAAAUACUGUCUCUUCCACAAAGUGAGCCGUUUUUAAAAUCUCUCUUCCACUACAUCCCAAACCCGAGAUGAUUUGAAAGCAGCUCCCAAAGGUAGACCCAAAUAACAAAAGGGAAGAGAGGCUAUUUUGCAGCCCAACACCCUAGCCAAGUCCUCAAAAUUAGGAACCACCCUUACUGGAAUCAGCUCGCUUUUGUGAAAAUUGAUUUUAACCCGGGAAUCGCUUCAAACCACAUAAAAGCCCAACUUAAGACCCCCACAUGCCUUUCUUGCAUCAUAAAAAACUAGGGUGUCAUAAGCAAAUAAAAGAUGAGAAACAGCCACUCCCUCGCCUCCUCUCCCACUAGCCAUGAAACCCUCAAGAAA